Molecule: long non-coding RNA, 70832 nt
Filed under: Citrus maxima (pomelo)
Lineage: Eukaryota; Viridiplantae; Streptophyta; Magnoliopsida; Sapindales; Rutaceae
Description: long non-coding RNA (CMAX_LNC001127)
Source: RNAcentral
UUUUUUUUUUUUUUUUUUUUGGGUGCCAAUAUUCACAAAAUGUUAAGAAAAUGAAGCAUUUCCGAGAAAGCAGAUGAAUUUGGAAGGAAAGCAAGAAGCCAUUAUUAAUGCUCAAAAUGGUGAACAUCAAUAGAAUUGAUUGGAAAAUGUUGUCAAAAAUGGGAUACCAAUCAGGUAGUAACAUCCCAAGUUAACAUAAGCAAUAAAAGCUUGCCAUCCGAACCCAACAGCUACUCCUGGUGUCGUUUAAUAUAGGGAAAAUAUCCACCGUCCACCUGAUUUUGUCCAUUUUUUUAAAAAUACACAAAUCUUAAUUUUUUUAGCUGCGCUCCACCUGAACUUAUAAUUUUUUUCACAUUUCCACCUCCGUUUGCAAACCGUCAAGACGUUGCUGACGUCAUAAGGCUAAAAUGAUAAUUUCACUUGGGCUUAAAAAACGACGUCGUUUAAGAUCUGUAAUAAGCAAAAAAAAAAAUUAUUUCAGUUUCAAGAACCCAAACAAAAGCUUUGAUAAACUCGAAGCUCAAAGCUUAAUUAUUCUCUGGUCUCUACUCACCACAUUCGCAUUCAUGGCUGCACAAGACACACAAAUUGAGAGCGAAAAUAAAGACUCAAAAGAACCCAAAAACCUGUUCGCACACUUUACAAACUUAUUAUUUUCUGCUCCAAUAUUUAAUAAUAAGCAAGAGAGAAAUAAAAGUGAAGGUGAAGAAAGAGAAGCUGCAGAAGCAAGCAAGAAACGAGAGGUGGUGAAAUUUCCGCUUUUAAAAAAAUAAACAAAGAAAGAAAGAAAAAGCAAAGGCAAAGCCAAAAUCUUCUACUCUGAAAGUCAUCGACCGUAGUCAUGGCGGAAAACACAGAAAUCGCUUCCAGUCCCAGAAAACAAGAAAACAAAAGCAUACUCUCGCGGUUGCCGAAAUUCCAACUCAAUCUCCCUUUCUUCUUUAAUCAACAACCUAAGAAAGCAGAAGAAACUGUUGUUUCUAAAGGGACUGCCAAAACGUCAACGGUUAGUGAAGCCGAUGAAGGUAUGCUAGUAGUGUGAAGCCGAGCUUGGCUAGGUUUCCGGACGCCACGCGUCCGAUUCUUUCGCCGCAGAUUGAGCUCGAGGCCGAAGAGCCCGCCAGGCGGACUUCCAAUCCUGUCCUUCUCUGGCAGGUUCGCUUUCUUCCGUCUGUUCCUGUUUGGCUCCCGAGAAAAUGUGGGGUCCUUUUGUGUUGCGAGAUUGCGAGAUUGCGAGAUUGCGAGAUUGCGAGAUUUUAUAAUAUUUGUUUAAAAAAUAAAAUUUUUGAAAGGAUUUAAAGAUUUUCAGUUUUUAUUUAGGGCUACAAUACUCACAAAGCUAAUAUUUUGACGUUUAUUUAGGGUAAAUAUGUAAUUUUUUAUUUUUGGGAUUAAAAAGUAAUUUGGACAAAAUUCCGUUAGUUUUAUUGACGGUUUGCAGACGGAGGUGGAAAUGUGAAAAAAAUUAUAAGUUCAGGUGGAGCGCAGCUAAAAAAAUUAUGAUUUGUGUAUUUUUAAAAAAGUGGACAAAAUCAAGUAGACGGUAGAUAUUUUCCCUUUAAUAUAUCACAUCAAUUGCAGUAGCGUUAAUUAUUAAUGAUUUGAAUUUUGAAGCCACAACAAAUUAAUUAUGGGGAAAUGGAGAGGAAGAGCUGGAGCUAUGUAAUAAAUAUAAUAUGGCAACAGCUAGCAAUAAAAACGACGUUUAUCGUCUAAUUAUUUAGUACUUCUCAAUUAUUGAUUGACAUUAUAAUCAAAGGCCGACUGUUAUUAAAUUUUUUCACUAAAGUAAUUAAGGUAGCUCAUAUUUUUCAAUUAAUUAAAAGCAAUUAUAUUCCUAACGUAAAAUAAUCAUCGAGAGCAAAUAAUCAGUAGAAAAAUUAACGCUUGAAAGAGUUUGAUGCUUUUUAAAAUAUCAAUGGAGUUUGUAUUUAUUUAAUCAAAGAACAGGAACGUGGGUCUUUUUCCCCCACUAAUAACUGUAGAAAAGCAACAUUUAUUAAAGCUUGAGUUGACGUACAUACACUAAUGAACUCAUUUGCCUGUUUGUUGUGUUGUGUGGCGGUGUAUGCGAGCACGUGUUGUGAAAAUUUUAAUAUAUUUGUAAGUGUAUGAAUUUAGAGAUAAAAUAGUGAUAACGAGGUCGAUCCUACAAGGAUUAUUAUAAAUUAAAAAAUUUAAUUUAAAUUUAAAAUUAAUAUUAAUUCUAACCUAGUUGACCAAAUUAAGUUUCUAAGAAAAUUAAACCAAUUAAACUAAGGAAGCAAUUAAAAUAAAGGAGAAUUCAAUCAAAUAAAAAUUACUAAAGUUUUAAAAUCCACCACUAUUCAACUAGUAAUUACUGUAGAUUUUCUUCUUUGUCUCGGGUUUUCCUCCUCUGGCGGCUCCUCUCUCCAAAAGCCAAAACUCCCUUUUAAUAAUCUUUAAAAUGAGCCCCACCUCUUAAAUGCUAAAGCCAAAAGGCUUGGCCUUUUACUUGAUUUGCUCUCACACACGUCCUGGCCACUUAUAAUUGCUAAAGGACUCAUUUUUCCAAUUAUAAAAGUCAAGUGUGUGUCCCUUCUUAAAGCUAAAUCAAUUUCUCUCCUUUGUCCGCAUGUACAUGAUGAAUUAACUUGUUGAAUUCAGUUCCUUGGCUUGAUUUCCGCAUGCAUGUAUGUCUAAUUGCUUCCAAAAAUCAAUUAAUCUUUAAUGCUUACAAAUUAAAUUCCUUUAUGCUCUUUUUAUCCAUAAUCUCCAAUUAAUUUCCUAUUCAAUAAAAUAAUUUAAUUAAUUAAAAAUAAAAAUAACUAACAAUUAAAUAAUUAAAGAUAAAAUAUGUAUAUAAAUUAUGCUCAUCAGCACGUCGCCGUCUUGUGCAAAGCUAAAUAUCAACAACGUAAAUACUACCUUAUACAGCAAUGCGCGCGCUUUAAAUAAUUGACUAUUACAUAGUAAAUAGUAAAUAAACAUAUAAUUGGUUCCUGCAUCUUCAAUUCUGUGUCUUAUUAUUGACGUUAUUUGAUAAAAUGCAAUGCUGUGAAUAUUUACCUGUAUUACUAUCAUGGUUGGUUAAAAAAAAAAAAGGGUUAGGUGAGCGAGAAAGGAGAUGAUAAGCUAGGAGAAUAAGAAUUACCUGACAGAACAGGCUGGACGCCGUUGAGAAUUACGGAGAAAGCGAGAAAAGGGCUGAGUUCAGCAACGGAGUCGGCGACGGUGGAGCCGCCAGUGAAGGCAUAGCUCAAGACAUUGCGCAGUAUGAGGACAAGAAUGGCCAGAAUCACAGAGAGUGCGAGUGAAAUUGAAGUUACCACGAUCACUGAGAACUUACACGAUUUUGGAUGUGCUGCACCCAACUCAAUGCCCACCCUAACACUGUACGUACGUGUGUAUUUCACCAAUUCAGCGCAAAUAAUUGUAACUAAUUAGAGGAAAACACUAAUAAAUUACGUACCUUGCUGCCGCAUUGAAACCCACAGCAAUCAUGAACACCCAUCCAGCAAUCGUCAUGCUGCAUUAGUGGACACAUGUAAUAGCAUGCGGUUGCAUUGAAUUACUUUGGCAACAUGAUGCCGAUGAGCAUAUUAAAGAGAUUAAACAGACAAAUAAUUCGUAUCUUACCAGAUGGAGAGAGAGUCGAGCACAAUUUCAGCAUUAUCGAGCAACCCAGCAAUCAAAACAAUGAUCUGAUAGUACCAAAUCUCGAGGCACAACAUUACAGCCGAUGCUGUUGACAAUUUCAGUAAGUCCCACAGCCCAGAAAACGCCUGUAAGCUAAACCCAGUCCAUGUCUUUUUGCACCUUUCACUCAACAAAAUGUACACGAAUUGUGCCGCCACUAUAAUCCACCACGACAAACUUAACACCAACGAUGCCCCUAGAAGUCCCCAGCCUAGCUUGAAAAUCGCAACCCAACUUAAGAGCACAUGCACCACAAGUGUUGCCGCUGAGAUGUAUGCACUUGGCGAGAUUAUGCUUUGUGCUUGUGGGAGCUUUUGUAUGGGGAAAUUGACGGCGUAGGCAAAUAUCUGUGGGAUUAGACCGAAAACGAAGAUUGCUGCUGCUGAUGCAAUGGCACUUGAUUCCCCUAGCAGGAGCAAGAUUUGUUUUGAGAAUAUGUAGAUGACCAUGAGUGGUAUCCCAGUUGCCGUGAGUAUGACUGCCGAUCUUUGAAGAUAAACGCCUAGCAUGUCGUACUUCUGUGCCCCGUAAGCUUGGCCACAUAAAGUUUCAGUAGCGCUUCCCAUUCCCAACUGUGUAAAAAUAAUAUUUUAAUUGUAAUCGGACAGUAAUUAUAUAUACACACACACAUAUAUAUACUAUUACGUACCAUAAGGCCAUAGGCGAAAACUUGGAUGCCAGUGUUGCCAAGAGAGACGGCAGCGAGCUCAAGAUUGCCAAGAUGGCCGCAAAAGAUCUGAGUGGACAUGGCGACAAGGUUAUUGAGCAUGUAAACCAAGAUUGCUGGGGCUGCUAGGCGGAAGAGGCUCUUGAGUUCGAUCCAUGUUGCUUUCUUGAUUCUCUGAAAGAAUGACAAGCUGGUAAGUUCCUUCACUCUUGUGAGUCUUGUCUCUCAACUCUCAACACACACGCAGCUACCUCCCCGUUAAUCAUAUAUAUAUAUAUAUAUAUAUAUAAAUAGGCGAUAAUAUAUAAUAUGGCAUCUGCCACUUAACUUUCAAAGACAUACAUAGAAAGUUAGGCAAACACAAUAUGAAUAUAUGGUCAAACGGGGAAAACUUCAUUUCAUCACAUACUGAUCGAUAAGACAAAAGUAUUAGAUUCUAUAUAUAUAUAUAUAUAUAUAUAUAUAUAUAUAUAAAAGAUCAUCGUGUGUUGUAUCACCAUUAAAACAUUGUUGUCAACAAGAAUUCAGAUUAAGUCCAUUAAUUAAAUAUACAUACACACAUACCAGUUACUCUUUCUUAGUGUACACUUGUCGACACGAAUUCAAAGUCCAUCAAAUAUCUUAAUGCUUUCAAUUCUGAGACAUUAAUUGGGGAAUGUUUAAAAGAAAGAAAACAUUGAUAAGCAGGAGAAUCGUGCAUGUGGUACAUUUACAAUAAUUUUAAAAUAAUUAGCCACACCACAAAUAAUAUUGCAGUUGCAGGUGCCAAAUAUGGAGGCACUUCCCCUUCUCCUAUGACGAUGAUCAAUGCUUUUGGAAUUUGCAUUUGUUGACUGUUGUUAGCUAGUUUAAUUAUUUAGGCAGGUGUGUGUAUUGUUCAUUAAUAGGCUACCUUUAGAUCUGACGCAUUUAUUUACAUCUCAUUCUAGAUAAGUAUUGGUGGCAUAUAUAUAACACAAUAAUAAUUCCGAAAAUCUGUUCUCGCAAUAUAAUACAUAUGGCUCUAACAACAUUCAAAAUUUGCAAUAAGUGGAUCCGAUGCUAUAAUCUACUUAUUUUUGCUUCCAUCCCACACACCACUUGGAAUUGACACCUUGACGGAUCUAGCCAACGUAGAUGCUGGCUGCUGAAAUUUGAAAAUAUUAAUUUGUAAUUCAUACUAAUUCUGAUAACACCCACUUUAAUUCCAGGAAUAUUUAUUAAACCUUUACAUGAAUUAUUUGCGUUUUUAUUUCUUAACAAAUGUCUUAUAUAUAACAUGAUCAAGAUCCAUGUUCUCCCUCAAUUGAGUCAAUUCUAGUUUCUAAUCGGACAUCUAUUUUACUAAAACGACCAUUUUAUCAUACAAAGUUUUUGAAAAUUAAAAAAAAAAAUUGUAAUUACAAUAAUACUGACGAAUUUAAUAAAAUAAAUAAAUUCAAAAAUCCAAAAUGUUUAUUCUUAAAAUUAUAAUUUUUAAACGAUUAUUUUUGUAAUUAUAAUUUUUUAUUCUUUUGGAAACAAUGAAAGUUGUUUGAUAAUUGCGAUUGUAUGAUUGAGAUUAAAAAAGCAAAAAAAAAAUAUUUGAGAUGAGUAUUACAUGUUUUUUAGAUCAAAAGGAUUGAAAAAUCAAUAACAAUUAUUAUCAAUUAAUUAAAAUAGUAUCCCAAACCUAAUUUUUCAGUAAUAUUUAUCAAUUAAUUAAAUGAUAAUUAUAAUUUUUUAAUUUUUAAAAAUUUUGUAAGAUAAAUUGAUCUUUUAAUUCAUUUAUGAUAAAAUAACUAUUUUAUUUAAAUUAUAGUGACAAAGUAACUAAUUAAUAUAAAUUUAAAAAUAGUGUAAAAAAUAUGUCAAAAUUUAAUGAUAAUUAAAUAUAUAUAUAUAUAUAUAUAUAUAUAUAUAUAUAUAUAUAUAUAUAUAAUAAAAUAAAAUAGAGGUGGUGCAGAAAUAAUUUUUUAUUUAAUAAUCCUCAUGGGACUUGAUUAUAGGGUUGCUGAAAUGCUAGUUGGUUUGGAAUUUUAAGUCGGCUUAGUCCUUCCAAAAUUGGCGUUGUUUUCUCGUCCCACUUAUCCAAACGAUUUUUCACUUCCUGAGACAAAAUCAUAAAUAAUUGACAACAAAUAAAAAUACACAUAUAUCAACUACUCUUUCAAAAGUUGUUCUUGCAAUUUAUUGCAGAUAACUUAUUAAAAUUCAUAGACUUUAGCAGUUGUAAAAGUCCUAAUCUACAAUGUCCUUACAAAAGGGGCAAAAUUUACAUGGCAGAGUCAGAUAGGUAGAUAAUAGUAUGACUUUCCUUCAUUUUACAUAUACAUCUUUACAGAAAAAAUUAUUGCAGAACCACAAGUAAGAAUCAAUAAUUAAUGUGACCAGAAACACAAACUUGAAAACCAGGCUAAGAUUCUCCUUCCAAUGAACCAAGGCAGCUCACGCCUGGGUGAUAUAUAGUAAGUUUUCCCAACAGAACCGUGUUAUGCUAUCUUCAUUUGUAAGGCCUGAGGGAUUGGUGUUGGUAAUACAAAAAAGCUCUCUCAACGUAAAUGAUAAGCAAGAAUGACCUAUAAAUCUAUAUGAGCAUCAACAGAAUCGCUGACGAAGCAAAGAGCUGAUAAAAUUUCAAAGCCUCAUUAUAAAGACCUGCAAAACACGAGUAUUAUGUCAAGCAUAAGCAAGUAUUCAGUAGCAAUCAUAUUUUCUUUUGACUACACAAAUGUUAACUCUGCCCGCAAGACUUCAAAAAACUUGCAUGUAUGCAGGCUUGCCCUUAUCUACUUGAGCUGGAAGGAUAUCACUGGGGAACACAAAGUGCCUCAAUGGUCAAUUCCAAAUCCCCACAAAAUAUUUGUAUGAAUUUUUUUUGAGCUUUCUUGAUUUUCCCAGAGCUUCAUAUCACAAACUUAGAAGGAAUGGUGAAUCAUUUUAAAAUUUCUUGUUAAGUUUUGUUAUCUACUUACCACUUUGAGCAGAUGCAGCAGCAGGAAGUGCAGGAAUUCUAACAGCUGCAUGCCACAAGCCAAACAGAAAUUUCAAUAAAAUUCGACAAAAAAUAACAGCUAAAAGAACAUGAUUUUAAAUACUAUCAGUUGAACAUACAACUAUUGCAUGAUUGAGUUGGUAAUCGAGAUGAAGAAGGCCAUGGGGCUGGAAUGUUGUCAUUCAGAUCACAAAUAAAACUAAUCCCUGAAGAUUUGUCAAACGUUGCAUCUGAAGGCAAGCUCGGCAGGAGGCAUCCAGAUUCUGCUAGAAAGGGGCGAAUAUGCAAGUUAGAUUCAACUCUUUUAAAAAAAAAAACUCAAGUAGUAUAAAAAGUCCCGUACAGAAAUAUAUUGAAAACUAGAAAUUGUGCUACGGUUGGAAUUCAAGAGUGGUUGAAGAGUACAGCAAUAUACAGCAACACAACACAACUAUACAUUUCAGUUGUAAAUGAUAGAGCUGGGGCCGCACACAUGAUUGGAUGAUGGCUGAUAUGAAUAAACUCAAAGGGAAUAACUUUACAGAUCUUGCUAACUUUAUAUCCGUUAACUGAAUUAUAAUAUGAAUAACAUAUCGUACCUUGAUUUCCAGCAGCUGCAUCCAUAUCAUCAAUCCCCCACAUCACAUUGGAGAAGCAAGGUGACAAAAGAAUUAUGCAUUAAUAACAGUUUUAUGUCAGACAAAAGGAUAUUUCGAUUUUCUCAUUAAGCAGCAUUGUUUAACAGAACUAGUACUAACCUUGUAGGGUGAAAUCUUUGAGACUUAUAUGACACAGUUUAAAAACAUCUGCAGUUAUACUUGAUUUUUGUAACUUCGUUCCUAGUAAUGUAGCGCAAUCCAAAGCUUGCAAGUUAGUGAUGAGGCUCUGUUUUUGCAAGUGUGAUACAUAGCUCUCCAUGGCAUUACAGCAAGCUGAUUGGUUACUUAUAUUAUCCCCACAGCUCUUUGCUAAGUGUUUUGUGCUGGGGAAAGACAAAGGGCAAACUGAAGCAGAAAACAGAAUAAAUUUACUAAUAGAUCAAAAAAGAAUUGAGAUCAGCUGAAGGAUUUGCAUCACUAAACGAAAUCAAGUAGAGAAAAAUCUGCAGAGCAAACAUGAAAUUACCAUACAGUCCAAAACACAACAUUUGCACUCACAGACAAACUAGAAAAUAAAACAAAUUAUGAGCAAUUAAUACUUCAUAGCGAGGUGACCAAAUACCAAAUACCAAAUACCAGUAAAUGAACAUCACCUAGCAUCCCAAGGCUAUCAAUAACUACUGGAUGCAUAGAGAUGAACCAUAUGGGUCAAAUACUAAAAAGAAUAUUUCCAAUAGAGGACACAACACAAACAGUCGAGCAGAAAGCCAGCAAGAGUCCCCAUACACAACCAUGUUUCCAAUCAUCUAAACAAUCCAAAGAGCAACUUCCAGAGCUGUGAGAUUUUUAUUAAUGGAACAACUGGAAAACUCAUUCAAGAUCCAAGUGUUGAGUCAUGUGAUGAAGGAAUUACCAAUGAUAAUUGACAGUCCCAGGCAUUAACAGUUUCCAAUAAAAAUUAGAUUUUUACAUCCAUGUUUCACUCCAAUCCCACCUUUAUUGACGUUGCAAUUAGAUAGUCCUCUUAGAACUUCCUUGGAACGAGAGGGAUCAAGUUUACUUCCCAGCCACCGGAGGACAAUGCUUUUGCAAUCAUUAAUCCUGGUUGAGUGGUCGGAUAAAACAUUGUGCCCUUCCAUGUUCAAAGGAUCCGAGGCUUUCAUCGCAAUUUUGGUAGCAGCUUCUAAUAUUGCAUUCUGACAAAUUUGGUCACAACAUUCUUUUACAGGAUCAACCUUCUGACAGGCAACAAGAAGCUUAGAAGAAUCCACAGUGCUCUCAAAUUCAUUAACAGCCUUGACUGGGCAAGAUGCCUCAGUGAGGUUUGAUGCAUUAAUUGAGCAUAUCUUCUUCAGAUCAUCAGCAGCACCCUGGCCCACCAGAAUCUGCUCAAAAUCAGAGAGGCAGUGCUCGGCAAGUGUCCCAUUUAAAGCAAGCAUAUUAGUUUUUCUACUGGACUGACCAAUGAGAAUCAGAAUAGUGGCCUCUAGCUGCGGACAGCACACAACAUUGGCCAACAAUGGGGCGAACACAGCAUGGCAAUCAAUUGAAGUCAUGCUCAUCAAGCUUUCAGCUGCAGUAAAGUUUAGCAAACAGUGUCCUGCAAAAACAGAGAGUGCCAACAGCAAAAUGUGAGUAAAAAAUUUGCCCAAAAGAGCUUUGAAAACCAGAAUAAUUAGGCUACAGAACAAACCUGAUAAUUUUGGGACAGUGCUAUUCGUGAAGGGUGCCAAGGGAGAAGGUGCAAGAAGAGGAAGAAAUGGCUGAGGAGCCUCACUAGGGGGAAUCUCAGGUAACAGAUCAUCCACUCUUCUGUUCACUGAUAUGUGACCUUUCAGAUUAUACAUUGAACUGCAACAUGAUUCAUGGAAACCUGUAACCAAACAAAGGGUCACUAAAAUGACAGGAUAAACAAUACUCUACUCCCAAAACCCACCAUAAUUUAAAUAAAACACCCCCCCCCCCCCCCCCAAACCAAGGUCGAUGCAUGGGAUAUCCGAAAUCCCUGACUUCUUGCAGCCAAAUCAACUAAGCUGUCAACUUAGGGAUGAUCUUGUAAGAAUUUGAAAUGUAACAACUCCGUAACAGAAUUUGUGAGCCCUAAUUUAAUGUUAUGAGAUAAAAGACUCAGAGAUGUGCAAUGGCAAGUUACUAAUGCAAAUAGGCAAUCUAGAGGAAGCUGCGUUGAAAGAAAGCUAAUUUACAACUUAACUAAGAUAGCUAGCAGCAACUAUAUGAAUUUUAUUAGUUCUAAUAUUGGAGAAUUAAGAUAAAAAUACUUAAUACAUACUCCUCAUUAUAGGUGAUAAUAACUAAAAUUAAGGAGCUUUACACACAAUACAACAAUCAACCACCAGAAGCAGAAACUUUUUUCCUUUUUUUUUUUUUUUGGGUGUAAACACAUAACAAAAUGGGCUAAAAAUUACAGUAAAAAUUUACAAUACAACAAAACAGAUCAUGACAAAAUCAACCAAACCCAGAAAAGGAAAUGGUAAAAAGAGCUGAGCAGUGAGCACUUACAUAGAAGCAACAGAAACAGCACUAAAAGACCCAUACUCAGACUGAGGUUAAGAGAAAUCCCUUCACUCAUUCCUCCAAAAUUUCCUUCUUUCAACUCAAAAAAAUGAAAAAAAAAAAAAGUUAGAAGUAAAGAUGAAAAAGGAGGAUUAUAUAACAAAAGGCGUGACCAACAGUUAAAAGAAUUUUUAGUAGUUUCUGUCUUGGAAUUCAGAGAAUGGGUGGGUAUGAAAGAGAAGGAAGAAAGAAAAGUAAAACGACACGAUUAAUUGAGAGAGUAAUGGAGUGCUGUACUACAGAAGCCAUGAAUGAGCUUAAGAAAUACGUGGGGUCUAAACUCUAACCAAGUUUCAGGGCGGAAUGGAAUAAUAUCACCUAGCUCCCUAAUUAAUUGAAAUAAUUUAGCUAGCUAUCCUAAUUAGCUAAACCAAAGUAGGGAGACAUCCACUAUAAUACUUUCCUCUUUUUUUUUAAAAAAAAAAAAAACUCAUAAUAAUUCUAAUCAUUUAUUAACUCUAAAAAGAAGAAGGGGCUUCUUAGAAAACCAGAAAAAUUGGGUUCUUAAUUAAGAUUUCGUAAACGUUGAGGGAGAGUAAGGAUGGCAAUAGAUCGGAUCUGACCCAAGAUUUAUGUGAUUCAAAUUCACUUAGAUUAGAUUUGGAUUGGAUUUGGAUACCAAUGCGUGGAUUUAAGACGGAUCGGGAGCAAAUUUAAAUUUAUCUUAAUAUCUAUAUCCAAAUUCAUAUCCACUCACCAUUUAAUGUAAUUUUAUUUUAAAUAAUUCUUAACAAUUAUGUAAUUAUAAAUGAUGAUAAAAUUUAUUCAUUAGCAUGUAUUUAAGAAUCUUAAAACUUAAAGGUGCUUAAUUAAUAAUAAGACAAAAAAUAAUCAAGUGUAAAAUAAAAUUAGGAUAGCCUGUCCUAAUUUUUUUAAUUUUUUCACUCUACAAUUUAGUCUCUUUUUUCCUCUUUAGUCUGCUCUCGCUUCUCCACUUCAUUUGAAUGCUUUGAUCAGUUCUUUAAUUGUUAGGAAAAUCCAUAGACUUGAGUUUAUUUUUCUAUCAUUUUUUCAAAAUCUUAUUUAUUUUGUAUAAUCACUAAUCAAUGGUGGCUAUCAACUAUAAAAUAAUUAUGUUAAUAAUAUAUUUAGUUAAAUAUAAUCAUAAUAAAAAUAAUAAAGCACUGAAUAUAAUAAAUCAUUUUUAAUUUAUAUGUUAUUAUUUAAUAAUAUAAAAAUGAUGAUGGUAUGCAGUGGAUAUCAAGAUAGUAAAGGAGACAUUAGAAUAUUAUAAUGAUAUUAUUCUUUCAAUUACUUUUGAUCGAUAUUUUAUUAUCUUUCUUAUUUAUUUAUUUUGGUGUAAAAGUAGAAGUUACAAUACUUAUUAGAUUUUUUGUAUACAUUAUAUAAUUUAAUUGUUACCAAUACAUUUUACUCUUAACUUUUCUUUUUUUAAAAAAAUGAUCUCUUAUUAUUGAGAUUUAGAAUUCAUGAUGAAUUUAGAGCAGAUUUAGAUUUUAAUUUUUUUUUAAUUUAGAGCAUAUAUAAAUCUUUAUUUUUUAUUUCGGAUCUAGAUAUAGAGCUAAAAAUAUAUAUCCAUAAUGAAUCUAGAGUAGAUACAAACCUUAAUUUUUAUUACGAAUCUAAAUAUAAAAUAAUAUAGAUUCAAACCAUAUCUGCUCCAUUAACAUACCUAAGAGAGAGAAUAUAACUAUCAAAUCAGAGAUAGCUGUACUGGGAGGGACAGUGGAGCCCACAGGGACAUAAAAUCUUAAGAGAAUUAAUAAAAGGAGAACCCACUGCUCUCAAUUCUCAUUACCGCCAUCAAUUGCCUUUCUCUGCUUCCCCAACCAGUUAAUCACUACCUCCAACUGUAUCCACCACACACCGCGCCAGUCACGCACGCGUGAGCCUCUUUGUCUCGAAUGUGUGAGUGCCCACGACACGUGUUACAGACAAACCAGUUGUUGUUUGUUUACAUACUAAUUAAUAAUUUCGGGUUGAUUUAGAAUUUUUUCCGUGCGUUUGGCACAUUUCUUUUCCACUCCCCCAGAAAUGCCUUUGGACAUUACAUUAUAGCAAUAAUGUAAUAUUUUAUUUGGCAUAGUAUAAACUUUAUUAUAUGAAAAAAAUUAUAUUAUAUUAUAUUAUAAUAUUAUUACUAUACUAUGAAUAAUAUUAUUACAUAAUUUAUUCCUAUAUAUUAGUUAAUAUGAUAUAGUAUAAUUUAAUAUUAUAUUGUAAAAAUAUAGUAUUAUGUAUGUAAUAUAAUAUUAUAAUAUCAUCUUAUAAAAUUAUUUUUAUUUAUUAAUGUCGAAUGUAAUUAGGUUUAUUAAUAUUUUAUAUAUUGUUUAUGUUAAAUUUUUAUUUAAAUUUAUUAUAAUAUAUUAAAUUAUAAAAGUCAAAUGAUUAUAUUUAAAAUAUGAAUAGAAUUUUAAUACAAUACAACCUAAACCCUUCUCACCCAUGGAUUUAUUUUAUACACCUUUUUAGUAUAGUAGUCAUCUUUGUAAUACAUUCAAUACAACUAGAAAUUGUAACCAAACAUGAGUUAACAUAAAAAAAAAAAAAAACAAUAUUUUAACACAAUACAAUGUAGUGUAAUAUAAGUUGUCAAACACAUUGUAAGUUCUUUAUGCAAUAUCAUUCAAGACUCACCAAAUUCAUGAUUGUCCUAUACAUGAAUAUUUGUGGACAUAAUAAAUCAUAAAUGGUACGUUUGACACAUUAUAUUAUACUAAAUUACCUAUAUUGUAUUAAAGUGCAAAAAAUUAUAGUUAAAUGUGGAUUAAUAUAAGAAUAUUAUUUUAACACGAUGCAAUUUGCAAGUUGCGAAUGCACCCAACGAGAUGAAGAGUUAUUUUACUUGGGAAAAGAGAGAGAAGCUCGCCUAAAUGUUCUGCAGCCCAACUCCAGAGGCCGAAAUCGUAGGCCCUUUGUAGGUCAGAGUUGUCAGGCUCAAGCCCAACUCUAAAGAGCGACAAGGGAUACAGUUGCAACAAAUAAUGGCCCAUAUUGACCAAUAAAAUAACGGUUUUUUUUAUUAUAUAUAAAUAAAAUAGUAAUUAGGAUCAAGAGAGAUCGUUGAGUUAGUCAGCUCGCCCAUUUGAGCAUGAAGACAUUGAAAAGAAGCUCUCAAUUGAUUGAUUUUAUUUUUAUUGGCGGCUUAUACAAUAAAUGUGCAACAAAUUGAACCGCAAGACUUACACAUAUGACGUCAAAAUAGCCUACGUUAAGUUACUUGUAGAAUAUGAACAUCGAUAAUGAUCAUUUUGACCAAUAAAAAUCAAUGAAUUAACUAACGGCCUAAAAAUUUGAUCGUCAUCAUGCAUCAACAGCUGAGUUCACCGUUCACCUCCGGAAUACUCUGCAGGACGGGCCUCCACGACCGGUGAUACGCCACCUGAAACUGUGCAUUACCGUUGAUCAACUUUGCCAAUACUUCCUCUAGAGACAAGCCCCUCACCCCCAUUCCUUGCACCAAAUCCUCUAAUUCCUUCCUCGUAAGCUUUAACUUGACUUCUCUGCUAGACGGAGACGGCGAUGAUGAAGAACAACCUCUCUCUUCUCCAUCUGGCAAUAACAUUUUCCUUUCUACGUUGAUAUCAUUUUCAUCAUUACUCGUUGCUUCAUUUCCCGGAGAUUCCCAAUAAUACUCCUCGCAAUCCCACACCAUAUUCCUCGAAGCAUUAGCAUCACGUUUAAUGCAAAACAAACAAUUUCCCAUGUUAAUCCUGAGAAGAUAAUGAGAAGAGAUUUCGUGAGGAUGGAUCAAGUUGAUUGUAUAUAUAGGUUAACUACUAGGGUGACGUCAAAAUUAAAGUUUGGACAUGUUCCAAGGAAACUUCAUGCAAUGAGUUGGCUUGGCUACGCCUACGUAGGAUAUCGAUGUGGGUUUGGUCUUACUUGGAAAAAACUAAUAGAGAGUUUGGUCAGCUCAAUUAGUUGACCAGAAUUUCUAAUCGUACAGCUAGAAUUAAAACGAGUUUGAUGUGUCAAACGCAUAACAUGAAAACAUGGCUUCCCUAGCUUAAUUUACGCCGGUUCACUUCGGGUAGUUUUCGGCUUCUACAGCAAAAAUAAAAUACAACCCAGCUAGGAAAUAAUUAAACCCAACCGGAAGGAUAAGAUUGAAAUAAAAAUAGAGAGAAAAAAAAAGUUUUCUUCUUUUUCGGUUUUGUUUAUGAUACACGUUAUUUUUGGUGUAUGAAGAAAGGGCAUUUGAGAUGGCUUAUUUUGUUUGAACUUAGAAGCUAUACAGGUAAGUGUGAACGGAGAUAUGAAGUGGAAUCAUUGACCUUUGCGUUGAUUUUUCCUUUCCACAUAAAUUCGGUAGAUGCCUUAUAUUCCUUUCUCAUCAUCAUGCAUGCACUUAAAAACAAGAGCGCUGCUACAGUGCUACUCACCCCGAAUAUUAACCCCGAAUCGCGCCGCCCCGAAUUUAAAACGCACCGUUUUGAUUAAAUUGAAAACGGUGCGUUUAACCCAUGUUUCCUUUCCUUUCUUUUGCCGAACCACAGAAACAGACCUUUGCCGCUUCCUUCUAGAUUCUAAUUGCCGCUGCCGCUUCCUUGUAGCUUUGUUGCCGCUGCCGACCUUUGCUUCCUUUUGGCUUCACGAUCUAGAAGCCAUCGCUGCUUCCUUCAAGUCCACAGCUGCCGCCGCUUCCUUCUGGCUCUGUUGUGGUCACUGCAGCUGCCGCUUCCUUCAAGAACCGAGCUCUCUAAGCCCCUCACUGCCGAUUUUGACCUUUGCUUCCUUUUGGCUUCAUGAUCUAGAAGCCAUCGCUGCUUCCUUCAAGUCCACUGCUGCCGCUUCCUUCAAGGCAGUCUGCUCUCUCUAAAUAAUUUCAAUAAGUUUGAAUUUAUUUUUAAACAUUUAAAUAAUUUCAUAUAAAUUUAUUUUUAAUUAAUACAAAUUAAUUUCAUGUAUCGUUAAAUGUUCAUUCAAGACUCUGUUGUGUUUGCUGCUGAUUGUGUUUCUGUGUUACUGUUCUGGGAUUGUCUUGCUGCUGAUUGUGUUUGUGUGUUACUGGUGCUGGAAUUGUGUUGGUGCUGGUGGAAGUGUUACUGGUGCUGAAAUUGUGGUCGUCUGAGCAUUUCUGUUUAUGGUUUUUAUUCGUACUAUUAUUCAGCUGUCAAGUCCACCUAAUUGCAGUUUCUGAGUUCUAUUUCCCGUUACUUUAUUAUAUAGGAGGUGAGGGAGGAAUAUAAUAUACUGAUGAGGAUCGGACCCAAUGCUAGCUAGACUUGUUGUUUUCUUGUUUAUGGGUGCUUAUUUGAAACUCAAGUGGGGAAUCAAAUAAGCUGAGUUCUUUUGUUUAUGGUUUAAUUUACAGUUUUGCCGUUUACAAUGCUAUAAAGAAAAUAUUGCUUCAGUUUCAUCGUUUGCUAUUGUUUUUCGUGUUUGUUCUAAGUCCAAUGUCAUUCUCAUGCAAGAACAAGAUCGAGCGUUAAAUGUCGAUUUUUCUUCUUAGUUAGCCAAUGUGAAAAUCUGCCUUGAUAAGAUCAGAUUUAAACCUGCUAAACAAUCAAGUGAAAUUAAUGAGAUGCCUUCUAGUGGAAAUAGAUUUCGUAAAUCGUUAAAUAAAAGCAAGUUUUGGUCUAUUUGGUUCACAAUUAUGACUGUAACAAAUUAACAAUGGCGCAAUUUCUAAACGUGCCGUCUAACUUUAUCAUAUCUGUAAUCUUUAACCAUGAAAAAAUAAAACCUGCAGAGUGAAUUAUUGAUGCUCAUGCAUGCAAGAAUUUGAUCAAUCAAGCUAAUAUUAAGGUGAAGGGGUUCAGCGUGAGAAUUGUCAAGUUAAUUGCAUGAACAAUUCGCUUGUAAGGAAAAAGCAAUGAAAGCAAAAGGAAAUGAGUCAAAGCAAAACGCACCGUUUUUGACAAUAUUCGGGGCGCAGAUUCGGGGUUAAAGUCGGGGUAAAUAGCUUUUCCCUAAAAACAAACAUCUAUUUCACGUUUCACUUCAUCUUCAAUCUUCAUUGUCAAAUUAUGAUUAAUUAUCUUUGUUUAAUAGCAUAUACACACACCUUGUUAACCCUUUACAUAAACAAGAAUAAAUACACGCACGCACGCACGCACGCACACAGUUGCCAGGCCACCGACGACAUUGACUUUGGAUCACUGCAUGUAGUACUAAUGCACCAAUUGCACGUAUAAGUGCAUGCAUUUUUGGUGGAAACUCAUUAUUACUUGAACAUAAAUUUAAUGUUUCUUUACGGGAACGUUAUAGUCGAGCCCACUGGAAGAAUAGCAAUUCUGGAAUUGAAGCCCACUGAAAAUAUUAUGUGAUCUAGCUAGUGAGUGUGUGAGAAAGAGAAUAUAUAUCAGCAAAGGUGUAGCAGAAAAAUUAAGAAUGCUGCCAUCCAAACAUCGAUCGAACGGCUCGUUUGUUUGGUAGUUGAAUGCGAGCUUAAGCUAUCUAUAUUACUUUGAUUUACAGAACACAAAUAACAUAAACUAAAUGAUAAUGCACGCUAUGUAUCAAAGUUCAAAGAAUCUAGAAGAUUAAUCAGCAGGGUGUCUACUGGUAUCCAUGAAGCAAAUUAAGAAAUUAAGAGGAACAAUUUGUAUUGGCUUUCUAAUAAUUAAUUACUCCACAAGAAUUCUAGAAUAGAUUAAGAUCACACUAAUGGAUGACGAUCAUGACACCAUUUACUUUCAAUGCCGUACUUUGAAGGUGAGUUUAGUUUGACACGUAUACGAUGGAAAAAAAAAUGCCGCAACUUUUUUUUUUCCUUUUUUAAUGCACUAGUUAAUUAGCUAGAAUCAGCAGCUACCAUUUCGUUUAUUCUAAUAUUAACAUCGCGAAUAUUUUACUAGAUUACUAGUUCAAACUUAGUAGUUAUCUUGUACUGGAAUUCUUUGUGUACGUAUAACUAGUCAAUAAAUUAAAAUUCCUUGUAACUCUUGAACACAAGAGCAUAUUUCUGCAAGAGAAAUUUUAUUAGUCAAUUGAUCUACCCAAUCAGUUAACCUGAGAAUGAAAGGAUAAGCUUCAAGAAAUUAUUGCUAUGAAAGAGAUUUCAACAUGUGGAUAUUAUUUGUAGAUUAGAUGGCUGGUAGUUUUGUCAUUGUUCUAAAUGAUUUUAUGAUCUUUAGUUUGUGAGCAUCUUGUAACUUAUCUUUUUGCAACCUUUUUCUUUUUUUCUCGGGACGGAGUCAUAACUAUUGUGAAAAACGAAGAUGAUGCUUUUUUUUUUUUUUUUUUAAUUUUUUUAACAAAAUUUGGUACAUACAAAUGACAAUUUGCAUCAUAUCAGCUAUCCCAAUCAGAUGCGGAAGCAUUAAUACCUUCAAUAAGAUAAUAAAGAAAGAGACAGUGACGAUGACAUUGGAAACUUCAUGAUCUUAUAAUUUAUAUAGCAGCGGAUAAUUAAUUUACGCAUCAAUCAACUCAUCCUACCCUAAUUUCCUGCAUUCAUUAAGGGCGAUUUGUUGCUUAAAAUAAAGUAUCACGUGUUUUGGUUGAUCCAACUGCUUGACUGUCUAUUGAGUUGAUCGUCUAAAUCGCUUGAAUUUUAGUAAUAAAAUCUUAUAUAGAAAAUCCACAUGUCGUUGCUAGACUAGUUGGGUUGUAAUUGUUAUGCCUAUUAAUAUCAUUAUUAUUAUUAUUAUUUGGAGUAAAUCUCAGCAAGAGCAUGCCUUGUUAUUUCGAUUAAUAAUAAAGAUAAGCCUGACUUUACUUCCUUAAAAGGGGGAGAAGAAGGGGGGAAAGAGAUGUCGUGUAGUUUCAUUUUAUGCCAACUCACGUAGAUCAUAAAGUUUGAUUUAAAUGAGUUGGUUCUAAAAUUUUCACCAUUUAGAUGAUGAUUAACUGGAUAGAAGCUUAGUGCAUGUGUGAUUAACAUAUACUUUAAAGGGACAUAAUUGCAUGCACUUUAUGGUGAGAGAUUAAGCGCGUCAUGUUUUCAUGUGAGGUAUCAUAACUUCUCCAAUGAAAGCUUGACACGCACGUAAUCACUCGCUAUAAGGUGCGCGAUUGCACGCACCUUAUCAUAUUCUAUAUUUAAAUGCAUAUAAUGUUGUGCAUUUUUCAAGUGAAAUAAUAUUUACGCAGAAUUUGAUAUUAAUUAAAAUUAAUUUUAAGCAUGGAAAUGAUUCGAUAUAGUAAACAUUUUAAUAAUUUCUCUAGCUAAUAGCUACAAAAUACGUACUUGCACUUAAAUCAAGUUGCCCAAACAAUGCAUUACGAGCUAGAAAUUCUUUCCACAUGAAUUCACAAUGCGAUAUUUUGAAGCCUCUAUCACCAAAUUUAAUGAUAUUUCUGAUUAUGGCUGUCCAUAAGAAACCUAAUAAAUGUGGGAAACUAACUAAAUGUGAAAAAAAAAAAAGGUAGUAUUAUAUAUUGAUGGAGAUGUGAUGGAAACCUUCAUGUACUAAUGAACACAACUUCAGCUUUUCUUUUUUUUCCACCUGAUAACGCUCUCUUUACUAAUUGGUUGUCCAAAAUUUAGCAGAAAUACACACUUUUCAGUAGAAUUUUAAAAGAUCGAGAUCAUCGGAUCAAAUGGCAUAAGGCAGUUUCAAAAACCGGUGUGUAAUUUAUGAUGGAAAUUGCUUUUUAUAAGAGUGAAGCACACAAAGCAAAACACACCAUGUUCAUUUAACAUGAAAUUAUUAUGAGUGGGGCUAUUUGUAAUAUUUGUACAGCACGUAUAUCAUGCAUGGACUAACCGCGAGCAAAUUAAUGGUAGCUACCCUUUUGUUAAUUCAUUAUUAUAAAACUUAUAUGCAACAAAUUAUGGCAUCAUACACAGAUAUUUAUAAGUUAUUAAUGCAAAUAAAUAAUAGUAUGCAUAGAACAAUCUACUACUAGAGAGAUUAAAGCACUUUUCUUCUUACGACCUAGGUAAAGUUUGAUAACUUCAUGCACGCAAGUGUUUUAAGGGGAAUAUUUCCUCUCGAUUAAUAGAAUGCAAUUUCAGCAUUAUAGAUUCAAAUAUUUAAACUGUGCUACUACUAUUAUAAUUGAGCUAUCUAUACAAGAUUCUUCUAAUUUUUUUAUGGCCCUAACAAAAGGUACACUGAGAGUGAUUUUUUAAGAGCUAUAGUGUAAAAAUAUAUAUAUGGAAUUAUGUUAAAACAUCAAAUAGAUAAAAUUAUUACAAAUUAAAUUUUAAUGGAACCUAUAGAAAAAUAAAUUUUUUUACCAUGUACCGUCUAUGGAUUUUCAUCCUUAUCCUCCAAUGAGAUUACUAUCUAGGCCACAUCUGCUAUAACGCAAAUAAAUAUUUUAAAUUGAUCCUAUAUUCAUUUUGUCUUUGUUUACUUCUUAGGGAUCUUGCAAUACGUGUACAUGAUUAAUUAUGUAUGGAUAGAUGUAUCAGUUUAUUAUUUUUGUUUUUAUUAGCCACCAAUCAAUGGAUAUCAAAAAGGCAAAAUCAAAGACAAGAUGAGCAAUGAUCCUGAAUCUCUACAAUGUCCUUAAUACUUAGUGAAAAGACCCUCGAUGCUUUUAGUUAGAGCAUUACUCAUUAUUCAUUUAGUACUUGACAUGUGUGUAUCUCUCUCUAUAUAUAUAGAAAAUUUUCAAUUCAUUUUAAAGUGCGGGAAAAUUUAGGAAAAUUUUAAAACCCUGUGAUUUUAAAGUAUUAAUUUCAUAAUAUUUAAAAACCAUGCGAUUUUAAAAUUUUAUUAGACUUUCCUGUACUUUAAAAUUUCAGACAAAAAAAAACUAUUGUAUAUAUAUAUUAUGAUUAAUUAAAAUAUACAUGUGACAAGAAAUAAAUGAAAAAUGAGUGGUGCUUCAAGACCACCUAAAAAUUUUUCUUCUCUAACAAGGUGGACUUAACUUUCACAGUGAAAGCAAGGAGUAAUGGGUUCAAGUUAAAAGUGAUAUUUUUAAUUUGAAAUACAUUAGAACCUUUAUAAAUUAAUAGGGUUGGGACCAUAUAAAAUCUAUUAAUUAAAAGAGAAAUUAAAUAAUUGAUAAAUUAAUAAAUUAUUAAUUUAUAUAGUUAUUUACAGUUCAAUUAACAUACAUCAAUAAUACUUUAUAAUUUCUUAUUAUAAUUUGAGAAGUCAAUUCCAAAGCUUUUAGAUGCAAUAAGAAAAAAAGAGAUGAGAUCUAAUUAGAUAUAAAUUUUAAGAAAAAUAAUAAUAAAGUCAUAUUUUAUGUAAAUAAGUAACAAUAGAGUCAUAUUUUAUGUAAUUAUAUUAUAGUCAACUACAUUUGUAAUUUCAGUAAAUUAUUAAUUCAUAAUUUGAAUGAGACCACAAAGUUAUAUAAGAUUUUUUUGAAAAAGUAUUAUCUCAUUAUUUUAUCGAAGUUAUUAAUUUAGUCUAUUAAUUUAAAUCGGGACCGUGAAAAUUUAUUAUAUAAUAAAGAUUAUUAAUUUAUCAAAUUUUAAUUUAUAGAAAUUUAUUGUAUGUAACUUUUUUUUUUUUGUGUAAGUCAUUCGGUAUCCGGCGACCGCAUUGGGUCGCGACUAAUCCGAAUUUGGGGUGUAGUCAUAAUUAAAGCUAUUUACCCCUCCCAAAUGACGUGUUUAGUGGGGAUCGAACUCGAUAGCACUUCCCACAAACUCAGCCUACGUUGCCAACUGAGCCACAACUAUUUGGUACUGUAUGUAACUUUUUUAACCAUUCAAAAUAAAUUGGUUUAAAAUAACAUAAAAAAAUAUUAAGCGUUAUCUUUCGAAAUGAUUGAUGGAAGGAAAAAUCCCACGACUCUAUACAUAUUUGGGACAUUGAAGAUUUUAGAUACCGAAACUGUCGAUUUCAAAGCAACUAAACAAACAAACACUACAAGUACGCCAUUUAACGACUUUCAACAGUCAAAACAGCACUAUACAAAUAAAAGGCAUGAGCUCUGUACUGUCGCUCGGUCAGUCCACGCGGCAAAGCCUCCGCAAACAUAGCGCUUUGUUCUAAAUUCUCUCAAGCGGUGUGUGUGAGAGUGAGACACUGAAAUGACACAUUCGCUCCUUCAUACAACAAAAUGAACGCGUCAGUUGGAUCACUCACCCCACGUCGUCAUCACCGAAAAUUGAGGAACCCGAUAACCUUUUACCGUCGCCGGCACUACAAGCCGCCGGGAACCCCAUUCUUAAGCUGGAAGUUUGAUGAAAGACAGAGGGCUUAUGGGGCUGUUAAGGUUUCUGCCAGAAAGCUGGCUGCUGCCCUCUGGCAAUUGCGUUUGUUGGCUAAGGUUUCAGAUUCUGAUGUGCUUAAAUGUGGAUCAUGUGAUCGCUUCAGUUUUGAGGUUUGUUCUUUUCUUUUUCUAUUUUUUUGGGAUUUGAGUAACUGCGUUGUUUGGUUGAUGAGAAACGGUGGGAAUGUAAAUAGUUGAUUUUCUUGGCAUUGAAUUGAUGAUGGGUUUUUUAUCCUAAAAACAUUAAUUUGCAUGCAUGCGCGGUCGGUGAUCAUGUGUUAAUUUGGAUGAAUGUUCAAGGUUGAUCAUUGUUAUCAAUUGGUAAAUUACGGAAGAGUUUUAAGCUUUUGAUACCAUAAUUCAUCAAUUUUUAUUCCAGUUGCCAUUCUCAAAGCAUCAUUAAGUGAAGCAUAUUUCUUGGUGCUCUAGUUUUUGGAUUUGUUGUUUGAUUUAGUUUGCAUUUGGGUAGGGCAGGAUUAAUCCAAAAUUUGAAAUUCUCUGCUUUAUAUAGAAUGACUUGAUUUAAUGCAUUUGAUGUAAGUUAUACUACUGAUAGGUUUCGUGGCAAUUUUGAAAAUUAAUUUAUAUCAUUAUCGAUCUUGCAGUCUCAAGCCAGACCUGGAAAUAUUGAUCUUUCCUCACAUUGCUCUGGCAGUGGAUAUGGUGUAGGAAGCAAGGACCUCCCAAGGAGUCCUCUGCUUCGUCAUGGUUCAAGCCAUGAGAUUUUGCAUAAGGUAUGGGUUUACAUUUCAGUAGGAUACCUAUUUUUUCAACUGUUUUCUAUAGUUUUUAUUGAUAAUCAACUCAAUUAUGUUGAUCGAUGGUCUAUGAAAAUUGUUUGUAUGAACUUUUGGACCACAGAAUUUGUAAUAAUUGUAUUGGUACGGUGGCAAGUAAUCUUAAUUAGUCUGUUCUGCAUGUCAGUUAAACCAACGUUUGUCUUGCAGAUAGCAAAAUUAGCUGCUCAAUUUGUUGUUGUUUCCCAUGUAAACUUAAUUUAUAAUUGUUAAUCCUACAUUAAAAUUCUCGGAGUGUAGUGUCUGAUUUCUCUCAUUUAAAUAUUUCUCUAGCAUGAAUCUUAUUUGCCAUAUCCCAACUUGGUAAUGGAAGGGGUGACAAAGUGGGAUCCUGGCUGCUCAAAAACAGCAAGGGAGGCUUAUUGCCUUUACAACCAUGUGAAGCUUCUUGAAGAUCAAGUUACUACUUUCUCUUUUGUUUCUGCUCUGCAAGCAGAGCUCGUGCAAGCUCGAUUAAGAAUUCACGAACUUGAAGAUGAGCAUCGGUCCUCUAAGAAGAAAUAUGAAAACUUGGUUAGAAAGCUCAGAGAGGAAAGAAACUCGUGGUAUGUCAGAAAACACUAUAAAAUGGAGGCAAUUGUUGAUGAGUUAAAGGAUGAAUUAAGUAAAGAAAGGAAAAGCCGGAAGCAGAUCGACUUUCUCAACUCUAAAUUUGUCAAUGAGCUGGCUAAGGCCGAGUCAUCAGCAAAGCAGUUCAUGCAAUAUUAUGAGGAAGAAAAAAGGGCCAGACAGUUACUGGAGGAAGUUUGCAAUGAGCUGGCUAAAAAAAUCGGAGAAGACAAGGCUGAACUGGAAAUGUUGAAGAGUAAAACUAUGCGAAUUCGUGAAGAGGUGGAAGAAGAGAGAAACAUGCUGCAGCUAGCUGAGAUUUGGCGCGAAGAACGUGUGCAGAUGAAGCUGGUUGAUGCAAAACUGGCUCUUGAACACAAAUAUUCUCAGAUUAAUAAGCUGGUAGAGGAACUCGAAAAUUUUCUGAUGUCCAAUGCUGCAACCCUGGAUGUGAUGGCAUUAAGAAAAGCUGAGUUAAUCAUACGGGCAGUCAAAUUAUUGAAUAUUCAGGAUAGUGACGAGUUUGAAUACGUGGCCCCAGCAUCAGAUAGCAUAUUCUCCAUUUUUGAAGAACUGCGACAGGGUGUUGAUGCAAGGGAGAUGGAAGUUGAACCUCUAACGAAUUAUAGUCCUAAUUAUGAUGCUUCUAACCACCACAUUGUGAGUCCUGAGGUAAAUGAUUUUGACAACAACCAUGUGCUAAAGCAUUUAAAUGGCUUUAUUGAUUGUAACAAUGGUUUAAAAAAAGAUUCUAGAUCUUGGGAAUGUGCUAGACAUAGUGAGGAUCAAGGUUCAAGAUGUUCUGUUGGAGGAAGAGACCCCUCUAUUAACAGUGGUGGCCAAGGCAAAGUAGCUUCAAAGAGCACAAUAAUGCAUCAUGGGAAUGGUGGUCAGCAUUCUCCAAAUACAGAUGCCAGUGAUGAGUGCUCAGUCUCAGGAGAACAGCCCAGGCAGAAAGCAUGCUCUGUAUCUAAACUUAAAUUAGAUGAGGGGAAUGGAGUUCCAAAUGGAACAGUUUCUAAUGCAAGGGCAAUGAGAAAGUUGGUAGACGGUGGUUGCAAUCAAGGGGAUUUGACAGAACAGUUUGUGUUACCGGACUUGGGAAAUCCACACAUAACUCGAGGAAUGAAAGGGUGCACUGAAUGGCCAGGAGUCACCCGGAAGAUCAACAUGAAGGAUAAGCACUUGAAAGCUAUGAUGGAAAACCAGAAAACUCAUUUGCGCAAAGUUCUUAAAUAGAUGAGUAGCAGCAUGUACUUUUCCCCAAAUUUUGCAGUUGGAGAAGCUGGCAUCAAAUCCAGACUCAAGAGAGUGCAGCAAUUUUUGUUGAUGAGUCUCCUGCAUGCAUACAUAACUACUGCUAGCUUUUUUCUUUUUCUCUUUUUGGAUCUUGAUAAUUUUUAUACUGCAUCAUUGAAAUAUUGAUGUUUGUUUAAUUGCUUAUAUAUGUUUAAUCCCUGCAAAUCGCAGGCAAGCCAUGCAUUGCAUAAAAAAAAUUUCAUUAGUGUGUGAUUUCACAGAGUUGGGCAAUAUAUAAUUCACUUACUGAAGGUGAAGCAACUCAUAGCAUAAAGUUUAAAUGGAUAUGUACAAGCUGCUAAAAAAAGGUGACGUGUUGGCACUCGGCAAAUAUUCAUUAUCUGCCGUCAGUAAUAGAAACCUGGAGAUAAGAUGAUCAGUGAAUUAUGUUGCUUAACUGUGUAAUCAAUCUUUAGUAUGUGUUGUUCUAUAUUUUUCAUUUAAACAAUAUGACUUCAGUAUCUAGCUAGCUUUCUGAAGUACCAUUUAUUUGAACGGAAACUUGAUGAACUAUUAUCUCACGCUUAUAGAUCUGAUUUCGUACUUGACAAAAUUCAAUCAAGGUUAUGAUUAGUAGGUUACUGAUUAAAAAUAUAUAAAAAAAAAAAAAUCUUAACUAAACAUGUACCGUUAUAAAGUGCAUACACAAUCAUCUUUAAAAGUUCAGUAUAUGAAUGAGAUCCAAACUUGAAAUCGGCAAGGUAAAGUUUCCUAAUUAUUAGGUAGCAAUGCAGGAAUGUUUCUGUGAUUGUGUGGAUCAGAAUUUUAAGAAAAUUUUCACGAACUACUCUUAUUUUCUAAGAGUUCAAGUUCAACAUUGACAUGAAACGAAUUAAGUGAAACAAAUAAAAGCUCCUAAAACGAAAGCUAUAUAAUGAUAUAUAUACAUAUACCUUGUUUUUUUUUUCUUUUUAUUAUACGGAUACGCUUUUAAGCCAUUUAAUUUAAUAAAAUUUUUUAAUGCUAUUAAAUCGUAUGAUUUUAUAGUGCAUUAAAAAAUAAUUUUAUUAAGUUGUAUGAUUUACCAGCAUGUCUUUAUUAAACAAAUAAAAAUGAGGACACCUGCACCGGAGAAUUCUUUUAUAUAUGUAUGUAUUUAUAUGUGUGUUCAUUAUUAUCGAUUCCAUCAGUUUUUAUCGGCCGACAAAUGAUCAAUCCUUAAAUGCCUCACCUUUAUCAAAAUUGACAUAUCAAUAGAAAGAAAUAUGUUGCUCUUUAUGUUGAUCAACCACAAGAAUUUGAGGAUAAAGGAACGAGUUUAAAAAUUAAAUAGAAAAAGCAAAGCAAAGCAAACAGGGUACAUUGCUAAUCUUAACAAAUGGAUAAAGAUUGCAAGUUUUCAAAAAAUGAUAAAGCAAAGUUGAAAAUACAGAGAUCAAAUACAUCUCACAUCAAGCAACAUGCGGCUAAUUCAUGCCACACAAAUCAUUUCAAGUACGCCCAAGUCAAUCAAAAUAAAGCAAGACAUAAUAGCAAACAAAAAUGACAAUAUACAUCUAUUCCGUGUCUCUUGGUCUUGGGAGUUUGGAUAUAAUGCUUUUAAAAGUCAUAGUUAAUUAACGAACGUAAGUUUCAAGGUACAUAAUUUUUCCAAGUUUUUGGACACCAAAAUUAUGAUCUCUUGUGAAAUUUUGUGAUCAAUGAAAUUAUAAUUAAUAAUAUUAUUAUCAGUAAAUAGAAUAAGAUGCCAAGCAGAUCAGCUAUAGUGCAGUAAAGUACUAGCUCUGCAAGAAACAUGAUUUGCACUGAAGCCCACUACCCAUGAUCAAGAUUCAAGAACAAGAAAUGGACCUAUCACCACCACCAGAACCAAAUGGGUCAGAAAUCAUAAUGUGCAAGUGGAGCAAGAAUAUUUUACCACAUUCAUCAUUGCAAAGAUGAAGAUUGUAUUUUUAUAUACAUAAAGUGUCGUCAGUACUUAAAUGUCACUGUAAUAACUGCAAGUUGAAUGACAGUGAAUAUAUAUACGCGUGUGUGUGUCAGUGUGUGUGUCAUGGGUUGUUAAUUUGUGAUAAUUUAAUUUGAAAGUGACCUAACACCGAACUGCAUAUAAAAGAUUUCAAAUAGUUCAGCAGACAGCAGCGACCCUUGUGUAGUAAGACAGUAAAUGAUGGGCGGGAAAACAAGAAAAAUUGAUCAAAACAUACGGUUUUGGUUCUUCAUUAAAUAUUGCGACCAUCUAAUAAAAUAUAUGAUGACGGUUCUUCAUUCUUGAAGAGCACUGUGGUGCGGCUGCAGCAAACAAGAGGAGGGGAAUAUCCCCUUUCAAAAUUCUGGAAGGGCAAGAUUCUGAUGCAUUAUUUUUUAUCAUACAACAUGAUCAGCCCAAUAAGUUAUUCAAACAGGAAUCUCACGUCUUUAAAAAACUAUAUUUUGCACAUUAUAAAAUAUGAACUAGCUUUAGUUUCUUGCCAUGGAAGACUCGAUAGAGACGGCUGCUUAGUAUAUAAAAUUUUUGGGUUAUUAUUGUAUUGUUUGACAACCUCUAAGAAUUAUUGAGGGAAAUUGUUCCUCAAUCACCUCAAGACCUCAAGUAUUGAUUUUGUAUCAAUCAUUCACUUUAUCAUCUAAGAAGAUAAACUAGAAAGGGUUGUAAAUUUUUUUUUUUUUUUUUUUUACCGCCUUAUCUUUCCCAAAAAAAAAAAAAGCAUCUUUGGACUCAGCUUCAAUCCUCAUAUAAUGGUUUGGUGUACGCAGUAAAAGCAUGCAGUAGAGUAGAAACAAUGAACCACAAUGGACAAACCAAAAACAAGAAUCGAAUAGUAGUAUAUUUAUUUUAUAUCUUUUAACAUAAAUUAAAGCAUAUGUAGAGAAUGGAAUCUGGUAGUACACAUUACACACAGAUGAAUAUCCACGUAAAAUCAUGUAAAAGUAAUCCCUCCAAAAACAACCGCCUGGCGAGGUGCGCAUGCUGAAUGAAUAGUGAGGAAAAAGUCAGGGUUUGAACAACAAAAAUAAGCAACUCUGGGCACCGAUCACAUGACAGAGAUCAUAAAAAAAAAAAUGUUGAAAAUCACUCUCUCCAAGGUAUCAAAAUCCCUUGUAGAUGUGGUGGCAACAUCAAUCUUCAAAGUUGAUGAGAUUGGGCACAUGCAUGACACGAGAGAAAGAAGGCUGGCCGGCCCCAACCCGAAAGUUACAAUUCCAGAUAGAGAUUGAUCGCUGCUAUUUAAACAUGAAAAUGUUCCUGAAACUUGAGCUGCCACCACUAGUAUUUUAUAAUUGUUCUGAAUUUAACCAUUUUUUUUCUAUUCACUUACGUUUGUUGCUGUUUAAUUUGAUCUGUGGUGAUCUGUCAUUCCCUGCCUGCUUGAUUUAUCGUUUUUGACUGUGACUCGUCUUUACAAGUUCUGCAAGGGAAGUGAAAAAUCGUGUGUUUCCCAUCAGAGGAUUGACUACGUACUGCUGUAAUUGGCCUAGCACUGAGAUACUUUAUUAUGCAGUAGCUAGCCGUUUUGAUCAAUACUUUCACUGUACUGAGCGCCUUUGGUAUUGUUUUUGAAUUUAUUUUAUAGAAUAAAAAUGAUGUGUCUUCUUUGAGUUAAGUUUAAAAAUGCACUCGUUUCUUUGUUUCGAAAAUAAAAGGCGAAAUAUGUUUACAAGUCUAUGCGAUAAAAUUUUUGCUGAUGCAAAAAAAUAAUGCGUUUAGAGAAUAAUAUCCAAUUUCAUUCAAGACAUCAAAAAGUAAUUUGAAAUGGGAAGAUGGGAUGUGAUUGUGAUCCCCACGUAAUUAAACUUGGUCAGGAACGACAAUGUAAAGAACCGGGAGUGGUCCCCACAUGACAGAGAACAAAUUAUGAGAGCCGUCAAUUUUUUGUGCUCCUCCGUCUCCUUCGCAAAAAGUGGAGACAAAAAUAAUUCAUUCUCCAUGCAUUCAUCAGAAAUCACCCAGCAAACAGUUUUUCUGCAUUUUCCUUCUCCGAAAAUGAAGAAUGACUGGCUGAAAGAGUUACCAAACAGGCUCCGAAGUUUGCCUAUUUCUUCUAUUCUUUUCAAGAUCAAUUCAUUGAUUGAUCCAGAAAAUCCGUGAGCCCAAUUGGUACCGGCUGUUGAUGAGGACACUGACUAUUUCAAGUUUCCAUUAGAACUCUUUUCCUUCCCCCCUUUUUUUGUCUUUUUUUAAUAUAAAAUGUAGCGUAGAGGUGAUUUUCUUUGUAAAGUGCGUGUAAAUUUAUGAGAUAGUUUUGUAAAAUUUUGAGUUGUACUAAGAGUAAAUUUAUGUGUGUGUAUAUAUAUAGAGAGAGUAAUUUUCUGAUUUGAAAUUUUAAAAUGAGGGAAAAUUUAAAAAAAAUUUCAAUGAAAUUUUUUUGAAUUUUGCUGCACUUUAAAAUUUUAGAUUAUAUAUAAAGAAAAAUGUAUGUACUUAAACUCUUAAUAGGUUUCCCCUUGAAAAAAUUCAAAAAAAAAAAAAAAAACAGUGGCAUGGUUAAUUAAAAAUUUUAAACUCUUUGGAUUAUGAAUAAAAACCAGAACUCAUGCUAUUUAUUAUUAUUAUUAUUAUUAUUAUUAUUAUUAUUAUUAUUAUUAUUAUUAUUAUUAUUAUUAUUAUUAUUAUUAUUAUUAUUAUUAUUAUUAUUAUUAUUAUUAUAGAUUUUAAGAUUUAUUUAGUAUUUUAGAUUAUUUUACAUUUGUUGUUUGUGAUGCUAUUAACUUGGAUUGUUAUUAACAAUUAUUUUAGAUUUAGAGGUUGUUUGUUAAAUGUCUAAAGUCUGAAAUUUUAUUAAUUUCAGACAUUUUCUAAAAUAUGCUUGUUUGUUUUUUUGGACUUAUGUUUGAUUUUCAGACAUUUACAUCUUAAUAGAAAAAGUAAACUUUUGUGACUUUUAUUUGAAUGGAAAAAGGUCUGAAUGACAAGUAAAUAUUGUAUUCCAAAAGUAUCUCUGUAAAAUAACUUCUUUCCUAAACUAUAAAAUCUAAUCCUCUUUUUUUUUUUAAUUUAUAAGGACAUAAAUGUCAAAUAAUCAAGUUUAAGAUAUUUUUUUAUUGUAAAAACAAACAAGAUGCCACUUAUAUUCAGAUAUUUAAAAAAGAAAAACAAACAUGUCAUUCAGAUUUUCGUAUUCAGACCCAUUCAGACUUUAGAAAAAUUCAGACCCAUUUAGAUUUCAGACAAAAAAACAAACGCUACCUUAGUUAACAUUGAAUGAUUUUUUUAAAAAAAAAAGGUAAAAUGUUAUAAAUUUACAAAUAAAUAUUUUAAAUGUGCAAAUCUAGAUACUCAGAAUAUCCACUCAAAAUCUAAACCAAUACUAGGGACAUCCAGAUUUGCUUUAUUUUUUCAAAAAAUACUUGUUUAAAAUUCUUUAGUGGUAUUACAAAAUGAGUAAUGAUAUAGCCACAAACUCUUGUACAAACUUAUUUUGUACAAACUGAUGUGGCAUGAUAAGAUUGGUUGAAUUAAAUAUCACUUGGCCCACAUGAUUUGUUUUUAUUAUUUUAUAUUUUCAUUCAACCAAUGAAUUAAUGCCACGUCAGUUUGUACAAAAUAAGUUUGUACAAGAGUUUGUGGCUGUAUCAUUACUCUUACAAAAUAAAUGUAGGUAGUUCUGUCAGAUAUUUGAUCUUUUAGUAUAAACUACAUAUGAGUAAUUCAAAUUUUUUAAAAAAUAAAUAAAAGUCCAUUCUUAAGUCUUAACUAGUCACGCUGGCUGGCUUUUCACUUUUCAUUAUUAACAAAAACAAGCCCACUUUGGUCCAACCUAAUGCAAUCAUUGCGUGGCUAUCAUACUGUAGAUCUCGUUAUAUUAAUUAACAAAAUAAAGUCGCGGUCAUGUUCAUGUCACCCUGCAAGAAUUCUUGAUUAAAACAGGAUAGCUUAUGAGAAAGAAAGAUAUAUCAAAAGUGAGUUUGAGAAAUUGAAAUUAGAAUAAAAUUAAUAGGGUGACAAAUCAAAUUUGAAACCUUCACUCAAACAAAUACCAUAUAGCCGAAAAACUCAAACUUUGAAUAUGAUGAGUAAAAGACUAAGAAUAAUUUUAAUUAUAUAUGUAAAUAUUAAUUACAAGAUUAAAAUUAGAAAUCACCCAGGGAGAACUAGCUAGUGAGAUCACAUGGGAAACAUUUUCGGGGUUGAUUUCGUUGUUUAAAGAGUUGGAGUUGUUGAAUGGCAUUUGCAUGCUAAGGCGCACGGUGGUGGCCUGGUGAGUUGAGCGGCUGAGCAGCAGGUGAGAUUCUGAUUCCGCAACAAAAUGACACAAACAGAUCUUGUCUUUACUUGGCACCCAAGCCCAUGGAACGCUCUCUCAACUUGCAUUACCCGACACGAAUCUUGUUUUCCUGAUUGGGGAUUCUGGCGUAGUUUUUCGGAUGUCAGUAUAAAAGGACCGAGUUGUGUGGGUCAUCUAAAUUUUAGGAUCUAUUGGCACUUGGUGUUGGUGCCCUACAAUUACAAAUGCUUCUUUUAUUUAUUUAUUUUUCCCUCAAAUGCUCAAAUAACAAUAUAAUAUAAAUAUGAUCGGACUCCUACUCUACAUUAUUGGAUUUUUAUAACCCAAAAAAAAGAAAAAUUGUAGGGUUAUACAGAUAGCCGCCAAUUGAUCUAACUAGCAGAUCCAAAUUGGGUACCGGGGAUUCCUUAUCACAUGGCUGUGUCGAAAUUGAAUUAACAUACGAUUUUCAUGACAUUCAAAUAAUUAUACAACGUGCACGCUCUGGAACAUCAUUAAUUUUCUCGACGUGCAUCUUUAUUUAUUAAUAUUAUUUUACCAUUAUCAUUUACCCAGUUUGCAAACUAAAGCUGAAAAAAGAGUGCCAUCGAUCAUUCAAUGAGAAAAACAUGCCUAAUAAUGGGGUCCUAGCUAGUUAUUAUGUUGUACAGCAAAAUUUACUGAGGGGGACAAUUUUAACCGUCUGAUCAAUCAAACAAUCUCAGCGCGUCAAGCAUAGGAUGCUCGAGUAUUAUGAUAGAUACAAUGCUGGGCACGGCGGUGGGCUGAGGGUCCACACCGCGCAAACCAACACAAGGCCGGUCACCGCCCAUCUGGGUCCCCCAAACCCUAGCCACUUCCCAGAAUACGCCUAGCAUAGGUGCCUCAGUUUUCAGUAACACCACACCACCAUUUGUCAUCUUUAUUAGAAUGCAGUAUCGCAUCACCCCACCAGAGACAACUUGUGCAAACUAAAAACUGUUACCCAGACAUUAGCGAACUAUAUAAGCACGACUAUAUAUAUAGUGGCUCCCUUACGAUUUGUCUUCAUGAUUGUGAAACGUAUGAUAUUGAGAGCGAAUGGUGAUAAGGUUACUUGUUUACUUCACAAAGGACAAGUUCUUACAGGACCUACAUUUUGACCCUACCGCUCCUAUUCUAAUUAAUUUCUAAAUCGUCCAAUGUGCCCAUCACAAUUCACAGGCGACUACUGCUUUGCUUUUCUAUUUAAUAUCUCUGCUUCUCAAUCUCACCGCACAAGUGGGAUUAGUUUAAUUCACAUCAUUAACUAAUUAAGAACAUACCAAACCGUCAAUUUUGUCUUUCUAAUUAAUUAUUUUUAAUUGCUUGCGAUUAGUAUGCUUAUAUUAACCUGUCAAAGUCGGACACGCAAAUGGAAGGUGACAGCAUCGAGGAGCCCCCAACGACUGAAGCAUACACGUUUUGGGCAAUCAUAGGACGAUGAAGGUUCGUGCGCCCACGUGGAUCUUGGGGCCCUUAUUGGAUGCACUUGACCCAGUCAAACAACGUCGGUCAGAGUAAAUGCAAAUCUAACGUGGAUAAAUCUAAUCUUAACUCGAGUCUUAAGUCUCCUAUGGAGGAGUAAUACUUCGAGAUUUUAAUAUUGGAAUCUUAAUUUAAAUGUUAUGUAUCACUCUUUAUUUGGAUGAUAAAUAUUAUUUACAAAUUAUUUUAUUUUAUUAUCUAAUAUAUGAAUAUCAACAUUUGUUAGAAUUCAAAUGUUCAAAUCUUUAGUAUUACUCCAUCUAAAGUGUUCAAUCAAUUAAACAUAACGUGUGCAAUACAAUUGUGAAUUUUGAAUUUCUAAAAAGUAAUGUUAUAACUAUAAUUUUUUAUAUAAACUAAUAUACCAUUAAAUGAUUGUUAAAUAAAAAUAUAAAAUAAUAAAAACACAUAUUGUGGACUAAGUGAUAUUUUUAUUCAACCACUUAUAUGAUGUUAUAUAUGUUUUGACAAGAUAGUUUGUAUAAAAACGUUUAUAGCCGUAUCAUUACUCUUUUCUAAAACUUAUUUAUUUAUUUUAAUAAAACAUAUUGGCACUAUAAUUGAAAAAAAAAAUUGUGGAAAUCCUCUCUAAAUAAUUUUGUUGUAGUGCAAUGCUUCAAAAUAUUUGAUUAAAUAAUUUGAAUCCUUUUAUGACCUAAACUCUCUAACGGUUCUGUAAUUGAGUUAGUUAAACACCUUCUUUUUUCAUCCUUGAGAUGUAUGGGUUCAAAUCUCUUCAUAAAUGUGAGAGUUUAUUCAAGUCUAUUAAUAGAUCUAAGAGUUUAUUUAUUUAUUAUUUUCUUCAAUUUUUUUAUUUUUAUAGAUUUCAGCUUUGACAUCAAGACAGUCUCCUAUAGGCAUUGCCUUGGUCCUAGCAAAGUUACUGAGCUAUAUUUAUUAUUAUUUGUAUUGUACUCUAGAGUGUCAGUUAUAAGGAUACAUUUGUAUGUAUGUAUGUAUGAGAUUUUAAAAAAUUUUAAAGCAUUAAAAUUUGAAAGGAUAAAUUUUGGAUUAUUCCCUCAUAAAUUAACUAUUUUUAAGUCAAUUCAUUAUUUUUAAAAACCUCAAGUUAUCCUCAAAAAUCAUCAUCUCUAUCAUUUUUAACGGUCAAAAGGAUAAAAUGAUGUUUGUACAUAACAAAUCUCUAUUUAGGUUAAUUUUCAUUAGAUCCAAAUGUUUCACAAAAUUUUAACACAGCUAAUUAUUUCAAAAAAUACAGUAUACACCCAAAUACUUUAAAAAUUUUCAAUUUUCACAUUUAAAAGAAUAUAUUAAAAAUAGAUAAAGCAAUAAUUAUUAAUGAAAAGAAUAACUUAUAGAGCAGUGCAACACAUCCUAAAUUUUUUAUCCUAAAAAUUAUUUUGAAAAUAUGCUAUUUAUCAAUUAAUUAUGAGAUAAUACCAACUAUUUCACUUAGAUCUUGUAAAAAAUUACUAAGCAUUCAAUUAUAACAUAUUAUCUUAGAUGAAAUUUGGAUUAAAGUAUUUAGAUGCGUAUCAUUACUCCAACCUGUAUAACUCUUAAAGGAAUUUCCUUAAAAAAAAAAAAAAAAAUUCUUCUUCUUUUUUGUCGUCUUCUUCUUCUCAAACACUCAUCAUGGCCUUAGUGUUAACAGUACUCCCUUGUUUAAUAACCAUUUCGUUAAGUAGAUCCUGCAAUCUAAACAUCUUCUUUUUAAAACCCUAAAUUCUUCUCAAAUUCACCAUUAAACCCUAACACCAAGUUAAUCAUUAAUAUUUCAACACCCAUAUUCGUUGGAAUGGGUUUGCUUGGUUUGGCUUGGAUUGAAUGAUUUAUGUUGUUAAUUUGACUAGAUUUUGCCUGUUAGGGUUUUAAAUUAUGACUUAGAUUGGAAUAUUGUGGAAAAGUGAAAAGUUUCCCUAAGAAAGAGAUGAAGAUAAUGGAUUCUGGUUUUCCAAAUUAGGGAUUUUGUCACUUACUGUAAGUUUAUUAUUAUUUUUUUAUGAGUCUUACAUGUUUGACUUAGUGGAGGAGGUAUUUGACUUGGUCAAAGUGUGUUAUAAUUUAAUAAGUGAGUUGUUGAUAUUUAUUUGAGACUAUAUAAAGGAAAAAUUCUACAUUAUAUCAUAAGUAACAUGUCAGUUAUAUAAUAAAUAAAUAAUAUUAUGAUAUAUGUGUAUUUAUUUUAAAAAUCGUACAAGUGGUAUUUACAUUAAAUUUAAUUACAUAUAUACGUUAAUUGAUUGUAUUACCUUUAAUGUAUUAUACAAUUCUCCAUUAAAGAGUGGAUUCUUUGGUGUGGGAUUAGUUUCAAUAUAAUUUGUAAUUAUUAUUAAAGAGGAGAAAUGUUUCUUUAUAUUUUAAAAUUAAUUUUUUUAUUAGGUCUCCAAAAGCAGACAUAAAUGGGUAACAUAAGUAAAUAAAUGCGGUGAUGGGGGUAUUUUAGAAACCCUAAGGGGAUAAGUGAUAGAUGUCUUUAAUAGUAGGUGUAAAAAACUAAGUUAAUAUAUUCUGUUAUUAGGAGGCAUUUUCAUAUUUUAACAAGUAAAUAUGGUAAUCAAUCGUUAAGAAUGAAUCUUUUUAAAGAUAAUUUUAAAAAUUUUAAAAAUUAAAGGAGUAAUUUUAAAAACACUAAUUACAAGUUAAUCCGAGAUUUAGCCAACCUGAAAAUCUGAAAUGACCGAAAUUAGUAACGAGUCAAAAUUAUGAUAGACCAUCCAAAUUUGGCAAUUCUACUCUCUUGACAGGCACACUUCCAAAAACCAGGACCCCUUCAACACGUGUGACAACGAUCAACUCUCUUGCACGUCUCCCACUCCCACCAAUCACCAUAAAAAUAAAAAUAACGAAAUUCAGAAAAAAUGAACUCCAAAUUAACAUGAAAUGCGCGCAGUUGGUGUCGCUGUUAUUGCAACGAAAGCAACUUCUAUAUAUACAUGCCCACUACACCAAAACACAACCUAUGCUCUUAUGCCAUGAGCUCCUAACUAAUAAUGGACUCAUAAUAAUUCUAACAACUUGUUUUUAUUUCUUGAUUUUGUAACGUUAAUUAUUAGAUAUUCUUUUAUUUUAUUUUUUCUUCUUUCGUUUCUGGUUCUAUAUAUUUAGGAUGCUCCAUGGCGAAGGGCCGGAAAUUGACAACGAGCAGAAGCGAACGGUAUUUGGGAAGUUACAGCUACAGUAACGGUCAAGGGACAAACGGCGGCGUAUCGGAGCUUGGCGAGGAGGAUGUCUGGUCGACGGUUGAUGACGUUGAGGACAGUAACGACGAGGUUGUUAUAAAUAAUCCAAGAAACGAGUGGAGUCCACGCGCUGCGGGGGAGAGUAACGUGGGCUUUUCUACUAGGAGCCGGCGAAGGAACACCAGGGAUGAUCACCACGUGGGUGGCCUAUCGCUGGCUUUUGAUGACGCGGGCAAAACGUCGGCAUCUAGGAUAGUGCAUCAGUUCAGGGCGAAUGACAGCAUGGCUGCAUCGCCACGUGGGCAUCAAAUGGCCACGUCAGCCCCGGUGAACGUCCCUGAUUGGAGCAAGAUUUACCGGGUUGACUCGGUCGACUCGAUGCAUGACUCUGAUGACGAACGGGACAUGGAGAUGAUUCCUCCUCAUGAGUACUUGGCUCGUGAGUACGCGAGGAGCAAGAAAACGGGUGGCGCAUCGGUUUUUGAGGGCGUGGGUCGCACGCUCAAGGGCCGUGACCUCCGGCGCGUGAGGGAUGCAGUGUGGAGCCAGACUGGGUUUGACGGCUAAGCAAAAUUAUUUUCGACCAAAAAAAAAAAAAGAGCUUCUAGUAUUACUAUGAUUGUUACAUAUACAGAUUAUCCUGAGCAAUGAUUCGGUUGAGUCAACUCAGUCCUAGCCCAUUUGACUCAGCAGGGAGUGAGCUCAAGCACCGUUCUGUCAUGGAUGAACUAGUGAGCUGAAAAUGAAACGUGGAAUUUGUGGUCCAAUAUUUGUUCAGUGGCAUCAAAUCUUAUGCGUCUGAAAUCCUGAAUCUUUCUAGAUGAAACGGGCAAGCGUAAUAUGGCCAAAAUUUUUUGCACCCAAAAGAUUAAAUAACAUAUUAGUGCAUGCAUACGAUUAGUAAGUCAAUUAUUACACUAAAAAUCUCCCAGAAGCAUAAUUUCAGGAAUUACACUCGGUUUUAGCACUUAACAGAGUAAGAAAAAGUAGUACCAAAUGACAAGUACUUGUGAAAAUUAGUUAGUGUAACCAAGUUACUCAUAAUUUGUGGUUAUUGCAGUUGAUGUGGCAGUGGCACAUCUUGAUGCCAAAGUUCCGAGAUAACACAAGAGAGAUUGAUGCGGGUAAUUUGGAAGACAGAUCAAAGAAUCAAAUCUGAAAGUACAGAAAUGGGUUAAGUGAACUUAAAUGGGUAAUAAAAUUAAAGAUAUUGCAAACUGAAAUUGGUGACAAAUAAUUGUUAGGGAGGGGUGGGGGACCAAUUCAACUUCAGGUAGGUGACGGACUGAGAAUGGGGGUCACAUUGGGCGCAAGUUGACAAAGUCAAGUUUUCAUAAAAUAGAAAUUGGGGUGAUUUGAUAAAAACAAUGUGUGGGGUUCGGAUUCAUUAUCAUUAUGACUUGCCUUUUACAAGAAAAAGGACUUGAACCUUUCUAUUGUGCUCACAACCCAUAUCAGUUUUGAGCCAUUGGUUUGUUUUUUUUUUUUUUUUUUGCUUUUUACUUCCUCCACUCUUUGUGCAAUCAACAUAUGCUAUGCUGUGAGAUAUUGGAUGUACAUUCAUUCAGAGGGCCCAUAUGUAUGAUCAUCAUCAUCAAUCACCAUGAUAAAAAUAAAUAAAAAAAUAAAAUAAAAAAUCACAUUCUCGUAUUUAGAGAAGGAUUUGAUUAAAUAAGAUGUAACAAAACGGUAGAUCCAAAACUUGUAACCUAAUUUUAGUGGAGGUUUUGAUUAUUAUAGUCAUUUUCAUAACAAAAAUGUUCAAAACUAAACGUUAUCAAUAGUUACUGUUGCUUUGAAACUAACUGUCAUGUUUCCAUUUAUUUUAAAGGAUCUUGGGAUUCGAGAGUUAUCAACUUAUCAUACAAUCUAAAUUCUAGCAUAAUUAAUGGUGCAUUUGGUCAACUGAACUAGCGGUAUUAUAUUAUAGUGUACUGUAUUAAUAUAUUAUUGUAUCGUAUAAAAUGAUAUUAUUUUAUAUUACUCUUAAAAUUAAAUUAAUAUUAUUUAAAUUUAUUAAUGUUUUAGGGUUUUAUUAUUAAUUUUUGAAACUAUGUUUUAGAUAAUUAUUUACCUAUAUUAAUAUUUGUAAUAUAAAAAUAUUUAAUAAUAUACUAUUAUUCUAUAAUACAACAUUUAUAUUACAAUAUAACUAUUUCUAUACAUUAUUAUUAUGAUAUAGUAUAGUUUACUAUUACAUUGUAAAAAUUUAACACUAUAUAAUUUAAAUAGUAUAAUAUAAAUUAUAUUAUAUGAUAAAACAAUAUAAUGUUAAACUAAAAAAUAGUUUUAUAUAUUAAUGCCGAGUAUAAUUGUUUAAUAUAAAUUUAAGUAAAUAAUUACUGAUUAAAUAAAAGUUAUAAACUUAUUCUUGUUUAUUAAGUAAUAAAUAAUUAAAUAUAAUUAAUAUACUUUUUGCGUAAUUAAAUAAUUAAAAUGAUUUUAUGUAAUGAAAGUAAAAUAACGUAUUAUCAUUUGUUUAUUAAAUAUUUAGGUCUACUACUAUCGUAUAUUAUUAUUUAAAUUAAAAUUUUAUUUAAAUAAUGAAUAUUUGAUAAAUUUAAAUUUAAAUGAUUAUCUUUAAAAUAUGAAUAGCAUUUUAAUGCAAUGCAACCUAAACCUUUUCUUCUCUCCCCAUGAGUUUAUUUUAUACACUUUUCAUUAUAUUAGUCGCCUUUUUAAUGCAUAGCAAUAUAAUAUAAUGUAAAGUGUUCAAACGCAUCCUAAAUAAAGAAAUGAAUCAUGUGCCCGGCGCCUAGCAGCAAAGUUGUGAAGAUGCGUGUAUUUGUAAGAACUUAGAAGCAAAUUGUAUUUUAAAUUCAUGAUUAUAUAAGAUAAGCACAAUUUCACUCGUUAAUUUAUUCGCUAAUUAAGAAUAUUCAUGCUCAUCUUGACCAAUCCAUUGCACUCGCAUGUGCAAAUAUGUGCUCUUGUGCAAUUCAUUCACCAGAGAAAGGGAGGACUUGGCCCAUCUAGUACUCCAUUUGGUCCUUGAAAUAAAGGGCAGCCCGAAGUAGGCAUUGGCAAGCGUGAGCCCAACCUGAUAAUACAAAUAAAAGGCCCGAGUCCGAUAAAAAAACCUGAUUUUUUUGCCUUAGCCCGACCCUAAUUUGGUCUGGAAGUCUGAGCCCGACCAAUUUUUUUUAAACUUUUUAAUAUUAAAUAAUUUAAAUUUACCUCCCCUAAUUUAUUAAAAUUAAACAUAAAACUUACUCUAAUCAAUAUCUCAACCAUAAAAUCAUAUAAAUAAUUAAAUAUAAAAAAAGAACCAUGUCUAAUUCAAAUCAAAACACACUUUUUUUUUAAUUAUUAAGUGACCGGGUCAGGUUAGCUAAGGCCCGAACCCUGACCCAAACUUGAUUGGGAUAUAAUUUUUAAAUCUAAACCUGAAUUUUAAUCUUUAAAUUUGAACAACACACUUUUAAGGAGGCCUACGAAAGUCAAAAGAGACAACACACUAACCUCUAACAUUGUCAAUUCGGGGAGGAAUCUCUCCUUCAUGGCUACCGGAGGGUCCGGUCCAGUCCAGUGUUGAAAAAUAAGGCUCAGAAUUGGGCACUCUAACCCCAAAAGCAUCCUGUGAUCAUUUUAUAUAUGCCUUUAGAAAUCUUCAAAGUUAUGGCCUGUCAGCAAGAUGGAAUCACUAGAUAAUUGAUUUAUUUAAUAUUAGAUGUUAGAGUAAAAACUGUGGUGCGUUGCGUAGAUUUUGAAACCAGAGAGAUCACAGAGAGUUGCCAAAGCCAUGACUCUAUAUACGUACAUGUCUACUACCAGCCCAGUCCCCUCCCCAACAACCAAAAAAAAAAAAAAAAUGCAGGAAAAUUUGCUCAAAAGCUUAAACGAAUAAUGAAUACUUAUUAAUUAGAGAGAAGGACUAUAUAUAUAUAUAUAUAUAUAUACAUACUACUUGCAAGUAUAUAUUGCCUUCAUUUUAUUUUUGUCAUGAAAAUUUCAUUUCAUGGACCACUCGCACUUCCAAUGGAGCAAAAUGAUUUUUCUACCAACUUUACUUUUCCCUCUCGUCCUGUUGUUGUUAGCAUCAAACAUGAAAAAUCUUAUUUUGUGAACCUUAAGUUUUCUCUAUAUAUAGGUGUCAUGUUUGAGAUUGGAGUACUAUAAUUUUUAAAUUACAGCUGUUGUGGGAAAAUUAAAAAAAAAACUAUAACUAUGAAAUAAAAGUUAAUAGUAUGUAGUAAAUGUUAAUUUUAAAUAAUAAUUUUGAUAAAAUUAUUCAAGAUAUAAUAAAUUUUUUAUCGUGAAAAAUCAUAUUAACAUAAUUUAUAAAUUACAUCAAUUAAUGUUUACCAAACACUACUCAAUCUUAAUCUCAAGCAGAACCAUAAUAAAUUAUCCAUUUUGAAGCCGCAACUCUUUAGCUUAUAUUUGUGAAGUGAACCAAUUAAAGUGUUCAAUAAAUAUCAUUACAUGAUGAUAGCUGUGAGUGAGUGCGGAUUAGUUUGGGUUGAGAAAAUUCAAAUUACGAGAUACUUUCUUGAGAGAGAUUGUCAUUGGUGAGCAAGAAUGAAAAAGUUUCAAACAAAAGGAAAUACUUCCUCACUAUAUAUGUAAUCUUGUAUUUUAAUGAAAUGCCUUAGAUAAGCAUCCUAGAAUAAGAUUAAGAAGUGAUAAUUAAUUAGCUAAUAUAUGAGUAGUAGCAAUACGUAUUUGAAAAUAAGGGUUAAGAGUAACAACAGAAGAAAACGUAACAAAAGUCCCAUCUGUUUUGCAAGAAUACGUAUACAUGCUGGUGUGUAAGUAAGUUUACAGCUAAGACGUGAGCAAACUUGGCACAAAUUUAGGGCACGAUUCUUGCGACAGCGUAAAAGCACCCAAACACAAGUGCAAUAACAAAUGGCCCAGCCAGCUGCGACAUUACACAAACAGACAAAACACCUUCUAGGGGGUGGUGGUGGUGGUGGUGGUGGUGAUAAGAACCAAUCAACUUAUAAAUCUUUCGGCUUCACCCUAAAUUAUCAAUUAUGCACCUCUGCCGGCUUGCCACAUACCCCCACCACAUCUCCCAUUAAGCAACAUUUCCUUUUCAUAGCAUUAUUUUUCUCAUCUUUUAAACUAAAAUAAACCCAGUUUUCAAAAAUAGAAUAAAAAAGUUGGUAAUGUGCUGCAAGUAAUAUUUUUUUUUUAACUCCCUUUAUUUAUUGACAUUUUCUUAUUAUAUAUUAUAUUGGGUAUUAAAAAACAGAAGAAAACAUACAUGAUAAUAACAAGAUCAGAGAUUUGCCAAACCGAAAAGCCCUUUUUAUUUGAAAUUAAUACUUUUAUUGGCAUGAUAUCUUAAUGCAGAUAGUACUUCUCUAAAAUAUUGAAAAUUAUAUAUAUUACUUAUUAGCAUUUAUUACAAUAAAUAAAUAAUUUUGUUCCCUUAAUUUAGAGGAUAAAAUGCCGGUAGGGUCAAAAUAAUAAUGAUGAUAUAGAAAUAAUUCAUUCUCAAAUUUUCUCUCAAAAUCAAAUUUCAGCUCCUCCACUAUAAGACUCAAUAUAUAUAUAUAUAUAUAUAUAACCCCUAAUAAGAAGAACACUUAUAGUCUUUGUUUGUCCAUAUUCAACUCUCCCGUCAUUUUUUUUUUUUAAUAUCCAAACUUGAACCUUUUCACAAACCCAAUUCCCAAACUUGAAUCUUUUUCUUCAGAAUCCAUUUUUUAAUUUUUAAUUUUUUUGAUUUAAUCAUCUUGAUCUCAUCAGAUAAUGGGUUGCUGGGGCAGCAAGGAAAGAGUUCCUCCAUCUGAUAUGAAUGGCUACAGAUCAAGCACUGCUCAUUCAAGUCAUCAAGCAACUGGCGUUGCAACACAAACCCCUUAUCAAACUUAUCAACAACAGCAGCAGCAGCAACUACACGUGCAGCCUCCUAAAAUGUCUGCCCCACAGCCACAACCAAGGCAGCAACCGAUGAAAUCUUCUGCAACAAGCACAAGGCCAGUGCAAAAGCCAGAAACAGUGCUGGGCAAGCCUCUAGAAGACAUUAGACAAUUUUACACAUUAGGGAAAGAAUUGGGUAGAGGCCAGUUUGGAAUCACAUAUUUGUGCACUGAGAAUUCAACAGGCAAUAGCUAUGCAUGCAAGUCAAUUUUAAAGAGGAAGCUUGUGAAUAAACAAGAUAGAGAGGAUAUAAAGCGAGAGAUUCAGAUAAUGCAGCACUUGUCUGGUCAACAAAAUAUUGUUGAAUUUAGGGGUGCUUACGAGGACAGACAAAGUGUUCAUCUUGUGAUGGAGUUGUGUUCUGGUGGUGAGCUUUUUGAUAAGAUUAUUGCUCAGGGGCAUUAUACCGAGAAAGCUGCUGCCGCUCUUUGUAGGGCUAUUGUUAAUGUGGUGCAUCAUUGCCAUUUUAUGGGAGUUAUGCAUCGUGAUCUUAAGCCUGAGAAUUUCUUGCUGUCUAACAAAGAUGGGGGUGCUAUGUUGAAGGCAACCGAUUUUGGACUCUCUGUAUUCAUCGAUGAAGGUGGCAUUUUUUUUGUCUGUCUGUUAGUUAAAUUUUCAGUUUCAAGUUUUAAUUUUGUCGAUUUGGCUUUGUAAUAUUUAUGCUUAUAACAUUUGUUUUGUUUUGGGAGGCUGUUUGAAAAAUUGUUUUAACUACUGUGACAUUGUGAAAUUUGUUAGGUUCUGUAAUGUUGAAUUCUGUUCAUUGGCUUGGAUUUGUGGUAAAGAAGAGUUGAAUUUAUUGUAAUCAUAGGCUGCAUUGGAUGAAAAGAUAUAGUGGUCUAAUUUUAGUCCCAACUGUGCUUUCAAGAUGAGAGGCCUCUUGCUCAUUGUCAGUCAUUGACAGACAAUUAAAUUCGGAAUCAUAUCCUGCUGAUUGGACUUGUCAAGUUGUUAUAUUGAGAAUUUUGCCUUACUGCUUGUUUUUCUUAAUGCAGCUUCUUUAAUCUUUUACUUUUGAUGGCUUCAAAUCAUUUUUGGAAUUUUACAUGUUAUGUGUAAUUUAACCGUGAACUUAAUUCACCUUGUCUGGAUACUUAUCCCAGGGAAAGUGUAUCGUGAUAUAGUUGGCAGUGCUUACUAUGUUGCUCCUGAAGUAUUGCGGCGUAGUUACGGAAAGGAAAUAGAUGUAUGGAGUGCAGGAGUUAUUCUAUAUAUUCUACUUAGUGGCGUUCCUCCAUUUUGGGCUGGUAAAGGAGAUGAUACUUUUGUGUUAUUUUGUUGAAUCCUGUCAGAUUCUCUUGUCAGCUGCAUGUUAUCAUUUAUGAUCAGUAAUAUAUUCAAUUUGUUCACAUUGCAGAGACUGAAAAGGGAAUAUUUGAUGCUAUUUUGAAAGGAGGUGUUGACUUUGAAAGUGAACCGUGGCUGUUAAUAUCAGAUAGUGCCAAAGACCUAGUCAGGAAAAUGCUGAUACAAGACCCUAAAAAAAGGAUCACUUCCGCUGAAGUUCUUGGUAAUUAAAUUAGCCCUGUUUUACUUAGCUCUACUGAAACUAAUGUGUAAGAUGAAAGUCACUAUAUCAUGCUUUAGAGAAAUUCUUAAUAGUAUCUUUUCAGGUCCAUUUAACGAGACUUUGUUCCGUAUAACUUGUCUUUUAUUUCGUUUGACCGUCAUUUUUUAGAUUGAAAUUCUUUUCACCUAGCUGUUGAAUCAUUGAAGAAAGAAACAUCUUUUUUAUGGGGCAGUAUAAGGUUGAAUUUUGAAAUUUACAGCAAGAGCAAAUAGCUGGUGUAAAUCAUUUUUCUCAUUUGUCAGUCAACCAAUUCUAUCUUUUUGCUUUUAUUUCGCAUUACAUUCAUGCAACUUAUGUGCUUCUGGCUAAAAAUGUUUUAAUCUGUAUGGCCAGAGCAUCCAUGGAUGAGAGAAGGCGGAGAAGCAUCUGACAAGCCGAUAGGUAGUGCAGUUCUAUCUAGAAUGAAGCAAUUCAGGGCAAUGAAUAAGCUUAAAAAGAUGGCAUUGAAGGUAAACUAUCAAACUGUGUUAAUUUUUUAUUUUCAGUUGAAAGAAAAAUUUGAUAAAUUGCUACUUAAAAUUCCCUGAAAAGGGUCCAUUUCUUUUCACAAGUCUGAUUUAAAUAUCUAACUUGAUUCCUUUCUAAUAAAACAAAAUCCAUGAAAGUGCUAUGUACUAUUUAUUUAAGAAUUAGGUCGGGGGCAAACCCCAAAUUGGUCUUUUAGCCCCCUACCUCUUCUAAGAUUCAAACUGUUUGACCAGCCAAAGAAAGCUGCUUGAAAACCAUUUAGUCAAUCCCCUGGGGCCCUUGAAAGUGCAAUGUUGGAAUGAUUUUUUGUUCAUACUUCUGGUGAACGGGAACCCGGGGUAGAUGAAAUCAUGAUUCGUUUGUAAUGCCCAUUCAGCAAAGAAACCUGAAAUCAGCAUUCCAUAGGGGUUUUGUUUUAUACUAUUACCACCCGCCGCCUCAGCAAUCACCCAGCUGACAAUGCUGCAGCUGCCAUUAUCCUCGCAUCAUCAUCACCGCUGCCAUCGCUCUCCUUUCUAUAUUGUCACAUACCACCAACUGGCUGCUGUAUGGUAUAUCGAUCUUCAUCUAAUUAUGUUGGUGAAUUUUGGAAUUCAUACAGGUCAUUGCAGAAGCUCUAUCUGAAGAAGAAAUUAAAGGCCUUAAGACAAUGUUCGCAAACAUGGAUACUGACAAGAGCGGUACAAUCACUUACGAAGAGCUGAAGACGGGUUUAGCUCGACUUGGGUCGAAACUCUCAGAAACAGAAGUUAAACAACUCAUGGAUGCUGUAAGUAUUUGAGGUCCCUACCACACCUCAAACUUUUGACUGUUGAAUAUUCUUCACUUUUCAAACUCAACUGGCAUUCUUCUUAUCACUGUUCAAUAAAUUCCAGGCCGAUGUGGAUGGAAAUGGGACAAUUGACUAUAUCGAAUUUAUCUCUGCUACAAUGCAUAGAUACAGACUGGAAAGGGAUGAGCACCUUUAUAAAGCAUUCCAGUAUUUUGAUAAAGAUAAUAGUGGGUGAGCUCUCAGUUUCCCUUUAUUUGUAAUAGUAGCCAUCUUACUAUUUGAUCUCAUACUACAUUUUUAGCAUUUCAUCAAGUUUCAGCUUAUAAACAAUAAAGUAGCAGAUAAUCCUUCAUUUUAUUUUCCCAUUCCUUCAAAAAAAAAUAUAACUGGAUUAAUAGUAACAAUGUGUCCAUACUAAGUUUCAUCUAAUUUAUCUACAUCUGUUCUGUAUUAUUUUUCUCUCACCACUAUCAAAUGUCUGAGAUGUAAGAAACAUAAUUAGAUUUCAUGAAUAAUUCUUUCCUUUUCCCAUGUUCUCGGCUGGGCAUGUUUCCAGUUUUAAAUCAGUGAGUUAUAUGGUUCGAGCUGUAGUAGCUAAUGAAAUCUGAGGUCUGCUUGGUUGACUAAUAAAUGGGUAAAAUUAACUGGGAAAUUCUGGAGAAGUUAUUCUUCACUAGAGUGUUAUCCGAAUGUCUUGUAUGACUAAUUAAAUGAACUGUGUGAUGUAAACUUUCUGGUAGAUACAUUACAAGAGAUGAGUUAGAAACAGCGAUGAAGGAUUAUGGAAUUGGAGAUGAAGCUAGCAUCAAGGAGAUAAUUUCUGAGGUUGAUACAGAUAAUGUAAGAUUUUAAGGAUUCAUAAACUUUAAAGAUGUCUCAGAGAAUCAUUACCGGUUCUGAUGCCAAUUGAACUUACAGGAUGGGAGGAUCAACUAUGAGGAGUUCUGCACAAUGAUGAGAAGUGGGACCCCACAGCCUGCAAAACUCAUUUAAAUGCCUAAUCAAUCAAGCGAGCUGCUUGAUUAUGUUUACAGUAUCCAUAGAAAUCUGGGCAUCCUUCACUCUGGUAUUGCUUUGCCAUCUUCAAUUGCCAAGUUUGGCUGUUAAAGCUUGCAAGGCUACCGGUUUAUCUUCACUUGUUGCUAAAUUAGUAUUUGUGCAUAUCUUAUUCUUUAGCUAGCUUGACCAGAUUCUAGUGAACCUACAAAGCCCUUAGGGAAAGAGUUACAUAUUUGUGCCCUGUGGACACUGAAGAUAUGUUGCUGAUUUUAUUUCCUUGAUAACUCUAUUUUAAUUUUGCACCCGAUGUUAUUGAUCAACUCGUUGGGAAACCAAAGUGAUGUGGUUAUUUGCACUACAUUAUGCACUGCUUAAAGUUUUGAGAAACCAGAGUAACUUUCACUGCUUAAAGGGCACUUAAAACAGAAUAUUGGGUUAUUGAAACCAGAGCAAGAAGAUCAUGAUACUGUAUGUUACAUCUUGCCACAUAUUGUCUUGCUCCACUCCCAUGAUUUCCCAUUUCAAAAGUCGCCAAAAGAACUUUAGACAAAAAUAAGAAAUAUUUUCUUACUAAACACACUCCUCAAGACAAAAAUAAGAAAUAUUUUCUUACUCCAGCCAACUUGCAAUUCUUUUGCUACAAGCUUCUAUAAAAUAUUUGUACACAUCAAUAAAACUAGAUAGCCAGUUAUCAAGGAGUCGUGUGUACUCAUUACAGAAUUCUUUUACUUUUAUCCAACACUUUUUCCAGGGAACCCAAUGAAGAAUAAAUAAAGCUUUUGUUUUCCUUCAAUUGAUCAACCCUGAAAUGUAGAAGCAUUUGCCUUGCCCAAAUCAAUAGACAAUAUAUGCUUUUGAAAAAUGGUACAAACAAACAAGGGCUGAAUUGUAUCUUAAUAGUAUCAGUAAUUAAAAUAUUUAAGUUACCUUUCCACGUGAGGUCGUUUUUGUAUAUUGUUAUCUGUACCCCAUUAAGCAAUAAGCAUAUUUAUUUGCACGUGUGCACACAUUUUCUAUAUACCUGGGAAAAGCCAAAGGCUUCAUGUCAUAUGGACUCGAUAGUCGAGACAGGCUGCUAGCUUUCUAAUCUUUUUCUUCAAUUAAUCAUAGCCAUAACCCCAUUCAGUCAGUGAAUUUUUUUUUUUAAAUUUUUUGUAUGACUUUACUGAUAAUUAAAGCACAGUUCUUUUCAGGAUGCCCAAAGUGCAAUUUACUGUGACAAGGGAAUCUGUCGACUGUCGAUUUGAAAACAGGCUUUGGCAACAUUCAAAAAUGGAAACAUUUGCUAUCCCAGCUGCGAAAGAAUAGCUGUUAACUAUUGAUCAUGACAUUCUCAAUUUAGAUUGGGUUUAUCUGAGUUAGGUUAGGUAAGUGAUUAUUUUUUUUACAUGUUAGUUAACUAAUCUUUGGUAAAUUAUAAUGCUGAAACAGUGCCUAGGAUGCUCUAAGCUUUGCUUCAGAAUAAAAAUGGGGCACAACCACGACACUCAGCACAAGAAGACAUUGCUGUUGUUAUUAAAUCUUGCACGAACUGUUUUAUCAAAUAAACUUUAAGCGAUGAAUUUUAAUGAAUUAAUUGAAGUUCGAUUAUAAGUGAUAGGACAAAGACAAAGCUCCAGCUCAGAUAUUAAGCAUAACUUGUACCCCAUCUUCUAGUAGAUACAUUUUCUUUAGAGAAUCAUUUUCUACAUUUUUUAAGAGCUACCUCACAUGAAUGUAAAUAAAAAAAUUCUCAUCAAUUCUAACGUGUGCGCGUUCUUGCUUCACAUGUGUUGUACUAUCUAAUAGCCAACACGUUUAAUUAACACCUCUGUUCAGGUGAAGGUAAAUUUCUAUAAAAUGAAAGGAAUAUAUUCAUCGAAAUUGUUAGUAAAUGAAAAUGGUAAAAUCAUUGUUCAUCCGAGGUUUUGUCAGUAUUUGAAAACAUUAAAAAAAAAAAAAUUGAAUUUAUUCUAGGAUCCACCGAUUAUUUGGAAAUUGUAUUACGUUCUAUCUUAAGGUACAUUAUUAUUAUUUUUUUUAUGAUGUCACAGGUAAUCAAGGGGGAAAUGAAAAAGAAAAAGAAAGAUAAGAAUCCAGUAAAAAGGAAAAAUGGAAAAGAAAAGAAAACAGACAGUUGAUAUUGGGUUGAGAUUGAAAGAGAGAGAGAUAGAGAGAGGCGCACGUGGGAUUGCAUGCCUCACUCCUCGCCGUUGUUGUUUCCCUUUACAAACUUCAAAUAUUGCUGAAACCAAAACUUUAAAGAUUUUCGUCCUUCUUCAUCAAUCAUCAUCACUGUUUUGAGUUUAAACACUGCUUCUUCUUCUUCUUCUUCUUCUUCUAGUUUAUAAAUCUAAGAACUUUUAAUUUGCCAAUUAAUAUCUUUCCGUUCAGAUAUUAUAAAUCAUAAAGCUUUGCAUGUUGCUUGAAAUUAAACUUUAGAGAGUUUUGACUUAUAUUGAUAGUCAUCAUACAUAUACAGUAGUGUGUCAACAUUGCUCUCUUUUGAUGACAUUGAAGCAAAAUCCUUCAGGCAAUGAAACAACAUCUUUCAGAAUCACUUUUUUGAUAUCUCCUUGAAGUAAAAUACUUUCGAGUGUUAGGCUUUGUACUGCACUCCAAUUUCAUUCUUUCUUUUUUUUAAUAUUUGGAGCAUUUCUUGGAGUUUUUGAUUAGUGAGUACCUUUCAUUUCUUAAGCCGGUGUAUUUUGAAAAGGGUAUUUUAGGGGGAAAAAAUAAUUAAACAUUUGUUCUUCAAUGGUGGAGCACCAAUCUUGUGCUGGUGUGAUAAAUGCUUCUGCAUUGUGUGGUAUAGAGCAAGAAGUGAAAGGAGAGGGUGUUAAUGCUAUUGCAGAGAUUUCAGCUAAGUUACAAAAAGAGAGACAAAAGAAUGCUCUACUUAUGGAGAGAAUAUCGUUGCUUGAAGCUCAAAUACAAGAAAGAGAUAAUGCAAACGUAUGAUUUGCAUACUUUAUAUUUGUGAUUCUUUUUUUUUUUGGGGGGGUGGUCUACUUUCUUGGCUUCUGCAAUUAAUGCUCUUUAAUAUUAACUUGAUUUUGAGCUCAUUAAUCCUUUACUUUGCAGCUAAAGCUUUUGAGCCUUGUUUUCUUCUAAAUUUUUAUUGAAUGGCUCUUUCACGUGGAUCAGGUUAUGAUUUGAUCGUCUUCAUUCAUAUGAAUAACUCAUCUGCAUUUGUUUGUGAAUUAGUUUGAUCAGAAUUGUGUGGAAACUUAUGUUGCUAUUAAUUGAGCUACCCAAUAAAAUUCAUAUGGGGGGUUAUUGUUGAUGUCUGAUCUCCUAUUUUACAUAAAGCAGUCACAUUCAUCAUUCUUUUAUUGUUCUGAUUUUAGUCCCAAGUCUCUCACCUUAUGCAGUUUAAUUUGCUCUUUGUUAAAUGAGCAUCAUACUUAACAAAACUAUUAGCAGCAUAAGCAGUGCAUUCCUGAAAUUUUGAUUAUGCAUGUCUAUUUACACAUAUGUAGUUUUAAUAUCAUUAGCAAUGAAUGUAUAGGUUUAUGAAAACCAUUAAUAGCCAUCUUGCAUUAUUACUCUCAGGGCAUCUGUCUGAAUGCAACAGAAAGGUACAUCAGGAAAUUCAAAAGACAGAAGAUAGAAACAAGUGAUCGUAAUGAAGAUGGAAAAAAUAUCAACAAAAAUGAAAUGGCAUUAAAGAUAAAACAUGAAAGAUGCAUGCGCUCUACUGGUACAAAUGAAGAAGGCCGUUUAGUCAACUGGAUGAGCAUGAAUGAGACUCAAUUUUCGCACUUUGAUAAGAUUAAAGAUGGUGAAUGUGCUGCAGAUUGUGAUGAUGAUACAUAUGAAACCGAGAAUGAAGAUGAUGAUUGUUAUGAAGAGGAUGAUACUAAGGAAAAUGACGAGAAUAUUGGAAGCACUAAUAAAACAAAGGAACUGCUUCUUGAACAAAGCUUCCAUCCAAGUGCUCAGAGAGAGCCAAUAGGUCCUCAUGGAAGCCAAGUAUCAAAUGAAGGUACAAUCGAGAAUCGAAAACCACCUGAUGUAGAAGCAGUGCACAACCAAGGGAAUCCAAGAAAAGUUAAUAAGGAAGAAGUUAUAAAAAUUGGAGAGGGCAAGGCACCAGAAGAGAUUUUUAUCUCCAGGAAGGAGGUUUUUAGUGCAGGUUCUGGAAGCAUACCGGUGAAUAAAAAGCCUGCAAAGGUUCCAUUCUGUCCGAAAGAAGUAAAGAGAAUUCUUGAAUCAGACUCCCUGUUAUCGAAAAAUGCUCAGUCCCACACCAUUAGAAAAAUCGUAGUCUUUGCAUCUCUUGGUAUAAGGCAUGGAUGUGAAGAUAUGUAUGAGUUAGACUUCAAUCAUUUUAGCAUUUUGAGGAAGGGGGAACCAUAUGUAUCUCCAAAGAACCCUGGGGUAGGCAUUUUGCAAACUUUUUGUUAUGAUUUGCUUCAACAAGAUAGUUUAUUAGGCAUUAGCUAUUGAGAGAUUUGAGAUAAUUUUUACUUUUCAUGUAUCCUGUCUUACUCAUGAGUUAAAUACGCUACUCGAUCAUUUAUUAGCAGGAGCAUGUGCUAUAUGAGAACCCUGGAGUGAGGAGGAAAGUUUUCUCUCCAAAUCGUCAGAACCCAACACUGUGCCCUGUUCAAAUUCUCGAGGAGGAAAAGGCUAUGCGUCCGUCUGAUCCUAGCUGCCCCUCAUGCUUGUUCUUAUGCAUCAAGUAUGGUGGGAGGACAAGAAAUCUUCCCCAAAAUGAGUAAGUACUACUACUACUUUCCCAAUUUUUUCAUUUUUAUACGUACUAUAACUGAGAAGAGGCAAUGAAAUUUCUUUUUAUAGUCCUGAAUUAUCAUGCCUUAAAUCCUUACCUAAACAAACUUGACCAUCUUUACAGCUAGGGAAGCUUGUGUCUUCAGUCAGGCCUUCCAAAAGAACUGAGACGUUGGUCAUUUGAUUGUAACUUGUUAAUGUUGUGCCCUUCCCUUAGACUAACCUACAAUUCUGAUUUUUUCCAGAUAUGUCAGGCAGAGAAUGGGAAGAAACAAGCUGAAAUCUUUUGGCCCUCUUAUGUGUCAAAUGGCAAUGCUAGUCCAUGUUCGCAGCGGGAGCUUCUUCUUCAAGGCCCUGGGCAUCACUCUUUUGUUCAUGGCUGGUUUUCCAAAUGACCUUGUCCAAAGGGAAACAAAGUACCGAAAUCUAUACUUGCUGCAAAAAUAUUACAGGUAUAAGACGUUAAAAGUCGUUGGACAUGUAAAUUGGUAAAAUGCCUCACACGCUGAUUAAACUUACCAAUACCCUAACCCUAUGCAAUUCACCUAAACGGCUUUGUGUAAUAUUUUAAGCAAGCAGCAUAAUUGUAAGAUGGUCAUACACAGCAUUUUAAGCAGUCCCUUUUUCUAAAAAUUUGUGUGUCCUUUAGAAGCAAGGUGAUUGAUCCCUAAACAAAUGAAAAUCUCUGUAGAUUGCUGUGUUACAUCAGGGCAUUAAACUUGAGAUGUAAUCUCCUUAUUUCUUGCUUUAACGCACUCUUCAGCCCGUGGCCUAGUUACUCUUAGCAGUAGAUUUUUAACAGUUUAAUGACUUCACAGUUCACACGACCUUGCUGCUGCAGGACAGAUGAUGAUGCUGAACGAGAGGAAUUAUUUCUUCCACAUCAGGCAGCUUCUGAUACUGUUAGUUCUCAACUCUUAAUUGUUCUCUUUAUUAAGAGUUGUUAAACAGUUUCUCAAUAAGCUUCUUGCUUUUCCAGCAGGCCAGUCUUCGUUCUCAGCAGUUGAUUGCAAAGACAACUUCAACAAAAUCUAAGGUCAGGAAACAAUCAAAAACCACAAGUAAGCCUCAAAACAUGCCAAGAUCCUCAAUUCAGCAGCCAGUACCUUCAACCACUAUGCCUCCUAUCCAGUUUGGGCUGAUGGGCUAUGCGUCUAUUCAAGCUAAUGCCCUGGCAGGAUUUCAAUCUAUGCCAUCUCAGACUCAUGCAGAUACCCCAGUGAUUACCAGUUCUGACACCAAAGUCUCCUACCCCAAUCAAACCCCCUAUCAUAUGUUCCCACCACAGGCCACAAAUACAUUCAUGCCUAUGUUAUAUUGGCCUCCACCAAAUGCAUUUCCUCCUGGUUCCUACCCAGCCCCAUAUGGUUACCAAUCUUUUCCAUUUCCAGCUAAUGCAAAUUAUGUAUCCAUCCAUCCACAAACAUACAAUAAUAACCUUCCCUCCUGCAGUCCUUUUAUCCCCAAGGUAGUCGAAGCUACUGCAAAGAACAAUAACGUGGCCUUGGAGGAAUCUGAUAGUGACUCAGAUAGCAGUUCAAGCAGCACAUAUCCGAAAGAGGCAAUAGCAAGUUGCAAGUAGUCUAAUUGAAUUUUUGUAAAUGAGCCUCAUUGGAAAAUAAACUUAGUUAAAGGAAAGCAAUCUAAUGCCUACUGGGGCAAAUGUAAUUUCUCGCUCCUAAGUUUUUAGAGCCUCCAGUCUUUGCAUCAGUGAAGUAUCUAUAUGAAUUAUGAUCUCAACUUUUGCAUAUAUCCGAAUAUCAUGGUCUGUUUUCAUCAGUAGCUUAAAAUUUAAAUCAAUAACAUAACUAUGUUGAAAAUGAAAAUACAAGACGAUUGCUUAUAAUCACUGAACUUUGUAAGAGGGACAGCUACAUGACCACUGUUUGUGAUCAUCAGAGCACUAUUCUUACUUAACUGCUACAAUGUUCAUAAUAUUUGUUUCCACAAUUGCAUUCCAAUGGAAUAUUACUUUCAAUGUGGAAAUGCAACAUUAGAAACUUAAAAAGGAAGGCAACGCCUUCCAAAGUUGAAGCGGAAAUUUUCCCAGUGAGCGCAUUGUGAGUACAAAAUUCAUAUUUCACAUCUCUUGCAUUCUCUCUUUGACCCUGAGUGAGUUUUUUGCACAUUGCUCUACUACAUUCUGGCUGCGCCUAUGCAAGAGGAUUAUACGUUUCUCCACCUACCGAAAGAUAAUAGCUUAUUGCAUUAUAGAGCUAUAUUUGCUUACAUAAAGGCACAUUUUUUUUUGACACGUUGCAUAAAGGAAUCUUAUCUCUCUCGUUCUUUAUCCUUUUGCUGAAUUAUUUGCCAUGUCCUUUAGCUAAAUCUGGGGACCAAUUCAAAAACAAAAAAAUAAAAAGGGACUCCAGGGACACGUAGGUCACUUGAAUACGACACUACCCCACCGCUAGGGAUGGGGGUCCUUGUCGGUCUUCAACUCCGUUGGCAUCACGAGAGUCUUGAGAGUCAGAAAGAAGUUUAUUGCCAUUGGCAUGAAUCAUCAAUUAUCAUCAUUAUACAAAUCCAUGCACCAUACACCAUCCCUGCAUACAUACAUACAUCCCUCAUCUACCACUGCCAUUACUGAAUAUUAAUAACAUCAAGCUCACGCCAUCGAGGAAAAGGAAAGCCUAGGCUUAAACAUUGGACGGUACAUCUAAGGAACAUAAUAGCAGUAAUACGAACAUCUCACAGGAAACAAACCGAUCUAGAAAAACCAUCUUAUUGGGAGCUCAUCUCACACUCUUUUCUUCCUCAUAGAAGAAACAAGGAAGAAAAAUUUGGAGCUAUUAACUUGUUGUAGCUAAUACAGCUGUCAGCUAGCUAGGACUUGUCGUGGAGCUUGUUGGCAAGAUUGCAAACCUUUCGGAUCUCACCCUUUGUACCUGUGAGAGGGUUGUUCUCAGAAAGGAGAGUAAUGGCUCUUGAAAAUUCCUUGAAGAAGUAGUCUUGACUCUUGGCCAUCUUCUUAACAUAAGGUCUUGUCCUCUUGUCGGUGGCUAGCUGAUGAUCAACCAUCAUCAAGCCCUUGUUGUCCAAUAUGUUCCUAUAGUAGUUGUUGUCCAGCACCAUGGGUGUGCCACGGUCAUUCCUCACAUACUGAACAGCCUUGGGGUCUGGGAUUGCAUCAGGACACUUAUGGAGCAUAUGCGGAACAUGGUCAGGGUUCAGUGCAGGGUCAACUUCUGGGUACAGACGGUGCACCAGCUUCACACAAUGAGUUCUGCCAACACUGUGAGAUCCUGAUGAAAUAGACCAAUAGUAGUAACCAAGACCUAAUUAUUAUUAUUAUAAAUAAUCUUAAAUUACUUCUUUUUAAAGUUUAAGAAACUCAGUCGUUGUAUGCUUAAUAGUCGUAAUUGAAGCAUAGAUUAAGGGGGGAAAAAAAAAUUACCUAGCAGAGCAACAAGUCCAGGGGCGUCAAUGCCAAUGGCUGCAAACCUCUCAAGAACAACAGACAUGCUGUCGUUGUGAUCUGGGAGAUACUGCUCAAGUAUCUCUGCUCUGCUUUUUCUACCAUCUCUUCUUCCUGUCUUGAGAGGAAUGUAAGGGCCUCCAAGCUGAAACAAGUUUCAGACACCAUCAGAAAAAUCUCAUACCCAUUGUCCAUUUGGAGAUCUAGUGAAAAUUUUUUUAAAAAAAAGUGUUUUUUUUUUCUUUAAAUAAAAAAUAAAAUACAAAAAUUGAGUGAUGAAAUGGUGGUUAAUUAAAGAAAAAAAAGUGUACCGCAACAACGCCAUCUCUACCGGACAGGACAAGAAUAUCAGCACAGGAAACAACACCAGGGCACUCUCUUUCAACAGCUUCUUUGAUGUUCUCAAUGUACCUGAAGUUCCUCAUACCAAAGCUCCUGUCCAUCUCCUUCUCAGACAAGGUCUUUCUUGUCGAGUCCAGAAGCAGUGAAGCAUCACAAGACUAUGCAAACAUGCAAGGAAAAGGAAGGGUGGGUGGGAAGCAAGCAAUUAAUUAGUAGCAUAUAUCUCCAGAGCACGUAAAAUAAUGUAAUAAAUAUUAAAAAGAGUGCAUGUAUUAUAAUUAGUAAUAUAUAUGAUAUAUGAUAAAUUAAUUACCUGGACAGCACAGUCAUGGAAAAUGUUUCUAAGCCAAGAAAAUGCAGUGUUCUUGUGGCGCUUGUACAGAAGCUUAACUUGUUCCCUGAUAAUGUCCUCGGCCUGAGGGCAUGUAUCCUUGUAAAAAUUCAUAACAAGACCUGGGUCCUCUUCAUUUUCUGCCAAAGCAGACCUCAGAGACACAGCUGAGAAGGAAAGCAAAGCUAAAAGCAAGAAGACAGCUUUCGUACCCAUUUUCUCUUCUACUCUUCACUCACUAAAGGUGACCAACCUUGGUUUAGAUCUCUCUUGAUCCUUGGCAAUACCUCUCUUAAAUAAAUAAUGAAGUGAGGGCAACUUUGGAAUGGAUAAUAAUAAAAUAUGACACAGUUGGGAUGGUUAUAAAUUUAAUUUUUUUCAUUUAUUGGGGUGAUGACUCAGAUGCUUUUGACCAUGUGUAACAUUUACUUUUAACCUCAUUUUGUGUCGAGGGUUGGGAACCCCUUGUUUUGAAGUGAACAGAAGGUGCUGAAAGCAAUAAUGACUCACAAAACUUUGCUGUUUUGGCGUCAAUAAAUUGAGUUAGGGUCUCGCUAGCACUUGAUCCUACGGUCUUAGAUGCAUGCUCAUCGAUCCAGACCUAGACUAGAACUAGAAGUUCUCGUGAGGAACCUUACUAAAAAACAAAAUGGCAUGCAUGAUGAUUAAGAUUUCGGGCAGCAGCGGGCAGUGAGUGAACAUCAAUAUAUGGGAUGGGUCCAAAAACAUUUAUGACUCUGCCGUUUUCUUUCUUUAUUGGAUUGGGACUUGGGAGCAUGAUCAGCCACUAGCCAGCCAUACAAAUUGAAAUUGUAAUUGUAAUUGGAUUGCUAAUUCCACUCUUGUUUUCCUUCCGCAUUCCUGCGACCGACACUAGUUGAAACAUAACAAAAGACACAACCGAGAAAAGAAAUAAAAAAAAAAGAAGGAAAAUUUGUGAUGGGAAUGGAGGUUGAAACAAUAAAUUCAUCCAUGGUCAAUAGCUAGCUGCUAGGUCUCUGGAUUUUUUUCUUUUUAUUUUUUGCUGGAAUUUAUUUGUGGAAGCAGCUUAAUUAUAUGUUAAUGAAUAAGAGUUAGUUCAUUGAUUAAAAAAAUUGCUUCUUGUGAGGGUAUUGCUUAAAUUUUGUCAAAGCAGAGGGAAAAAAAAAAGAGCAGCAAAAAUAAUACCAGAAAAAGGUGAACAAAGCAUCUCUAAUUAUUUUCCCAGUAUGUAGUAAUUUUGGGUACCUUGAAAGGACCCGCUAACCAACCAUUUAAAGAUACUUAGCAGAGGGCCGUGACUAGAACUUUUUUUUUUUUUCAAUAAUUUUGGCAUUGCUGUUGUCUAAUGUUGCCCAUUUAUGAAAGCAACAAAUUUCUUGUGAAAAUAUUAUAUAGAAAUGAGCUUUCAAUUUAGAAGUGAGAUGCAAAUGCACAGCUCCAAUGAUGAUAUAACAUACCGAUAUUGCCAAAUUAGUAGAUAAGAAGUUCUUAUCUCUGUGCCACUCAAUUUAAUAAGCCAAGGGGGGUAAAAGGGUUUAUUAAAUAUGAAGUAACGUAAUGAAGGCAUAUGGAAUCCGAAUUGUUUACAAGGCAAUAAUACAUUUUUCUAUAGACUGAUUUGGAAUUAAAGAAUGACAAGUUGUUUAUUCGGCUUAACUACGGCUUUGACUUAAUUUCGGAGCCAAGCUCUCUUCAGUUACCCGCAAUGCCCUUCACGAUGCUGAUUUAGUUUACAUUGGAGAUGAAUUAAUGAGCCUCUAAUUUUAUUGGUUGUUAAACUAAUAAUAGCCCAAUUAUGUUCUAAAACUGAUAUCAAGAGAGAGGACAUGCUCAAGUUCUCAACUCGAUUGUGGUGGUAAGAUGCUAAGUAAGUUGGGUUCACCACUGAAAGUUGAUGGAGUUUUUUAACAAGACGGUAUUUCCAAACGGCAAAGCGGCGUUAGGGUAAAAAUAGUGAGCCGAGUCAGGUGGAAGGAAGCCAACAAAACUGGCCACCGACACUUGAGUAUUCCCUCCUACUCGCUGUAGCACUAUUACAUCACCAGUGCUGUUUGAUUGACAUGCAAUUCUAAAAUCUUUGCCCCGACCCUACUCCGUGGCUAAUAUCUUAAUCAACCUUGGAUUAUUUUUUUGGACUCCAUUAAUUCGUUGCCUCUUUUCUGCUUUGAAUAAAGUGCUUCAUUAAAAACCUUUUUCUUUAUUAAUAGUUAAUCAAUUAAUUAAUAAUUUCUAGUAUAGAUAUGCUCGAAAGCAUGAAAUCGAAUCACCAUUGCAUAGAGAUCCACAAAUAUGUAUUAAUUAGUCAUUUAAUGUAAAACCACGCCUGUUACUCAUUUUUAAUAAAAUUGUUAUUUCUCCUAUACAUGGACAUUACCUGAUGAUAAGUCACAGCAAAUGUAAAAAAACCCGUGGGCCAUUUAUUCUUUAAAAUAAAAAUAAAAUAAAAACAGGGGUAAAUCACGCAAAUUAAUUCAGGUAUAAUUAAAUAACUAGCCAAAGGGGAAUAUUUUCACAUGGACCAGGACCGCCCUGAGGCUUCGAGGAAAGUCCAAAGAUUAAAUUCUUCAACACACCCCCGCUUUCUUUAGUCUUUACGAAGUGGAGGCAACGAUGAUGAUCACACUGUACGCACCAAUCAUAACUUGUCUAUGGAAGCCACACAAGUACAAGUGGGCAGCAACAAGAAAAACUUCAACAUUACAUAUACUCUUUUCUAAGUGUUACAAACAAAAUUUUCUUUCGUAACAGUUGUCAUUCAUGAUCAUUUUUGGCUUAUCAUUUUUACCAGUUGGGUCCUAUAUUCCAGCAUUCUCGUCUGCGGGACCCAAAGGAAUUGCAGGCUCUCGAUGAUACCUUUGCACUGCGAUAUCAUGACAAUGGUGGAUCCGCUGAGGACUUCCCAUGUGAAAAUAACCCCCAGCUCCUUUUAUUUCACAACAUUGUGCUUGACAGGCAGACUCAUUCGUUAUCCACAAGUAACUGCAUGUUUCAUUUUAUGUUUGGAUCUGUCUGCAUCCAACAUCUGCAACAAGAUGGCGAAUAUGGGGUGCAUACCAUUUAACUCUUUCAAUAUGUUCAAUAGUAACUUCCCAUCUAUGACCUGCAAACAACCAAUGUUGCCCUAGGUAUCACAAUCUCCAAGCCAUGGUGGAAGUGACCAUAAAAUGCAACAUUUAACAUGUUAGAGGAGUCAUGAUAAUAGUACCUUCAGAUCUAGCAAUUUCAUAUAUUGAUUUUGAUACAUGUUCAGCCCACAACUUCUCCUCAGAAUCCUUCACAUUCCCAUGCACAUGUAAUGUUCCCCCCUCACUCCUGCAUUAUCAGUUCCUAAUUAAAAUAGAGACAGGAAAAGUGGGUAAUAGAGAAAUAUGGAAACCUUGAAACGACUUUAAAGAGCUCAAAAAUGUUUAAUUGCAUAUUCAGAUCAAGAUAUUUAUAGUUAGGAUACAACACCUUAAUGCCUGUACAGCAGUAACCCAGCUAUUCUCACUUGUUGGAAUAAGACCAAGACAGACCCGAUUGGCAACUCCCUGAAAGGACAAUGAUUGUGGUGAAUCACUCACGGUAAUCCUGAGAUUAAAUGACAUGCUACCUAGGCUAUAUGAUCCAAUUGAACAAAACCAGAAUGCUAUUCAACACAAGAAAAUCUGGGUCUUCUACGUUGAAAGUUAAAAUCAGGACCUAGUGUCUGCAAAUGUAAGACCAAUCUAAACUAAAUCCAUACAAUUUCAUAGAGGAUUUUGACAUGGCACCCAUCCAUUAAUCAGCCCCGACCUUAUACAUUAUUAGCAGACAAUCUUCCAUAACCAAGUUGUUGUAAGCAUAGUCGAUCCAUGGAUUACAAAUAUUUCUAAUCAUUUUUCUCAUCAUCUUGUUAGGGCCUGGAAAGAAAUUAUUCCGGUUUAGCUAGUAAGUGUGAUUAUAGAAUAAAAGUAAUACACUAUUUAACAGAGAAUAAUGAACAUACUUUUGGGGCUGUAAACCGGUUAUCCCCUUCAAGUACAAUACAGUGAUCAGAAACAGAAUUGGCCUGAAGAUUAUAUUUAAGUGCCUCAACAGCACACGGAUUCCAUUCACAAGCAUAAACUAGCCUUGCUUUCGCCCUGGUUAAUCAACAUGAUCAUACAAAAUAAACACCAGCAAAAUAUAAGAAUGAUCAACCAGUUAAAAAAUAGUAAGAAGCACAAUGUAAAUACCCGUAUUAAUUAAAGCUCCUGGAUCAUAAAGUUUCAGAAAAAUAUGUAUCUAUGGGAACCAAAAAAGAAAACAACAUUGCUUAGCCUGUCCCUAAUCACAAUUAAAUAUUACAUUGCUGGAGACAAAUAAGAAAACUCUAUUUGUAAGCAAUAACCUCCCAACUUCCAUCACCUUAGAUUCAACACAUGAGAGAUGUCUGGUCAUAAAAGACUGAUGAUAUGAGUUCACCAAAACUUAUAAGUGCGUGUAUGGUACUGUGGGAGAGAGAAGCCCUAAGUUCACUGAAAUUAUAGAGCUUAGCAGUAAUGAAGGACUGAGACAACAAUGAUUAUACCAUACCUGACAAGGAAUGGCAGCACAAAAUAUCCAAUACCAGCAAACAGAUCCACAAUAACUUCAUCUUUACAGUCUAAACGGGCCAUACGAAGCUUUUCAGAGAGAUUUCCCCAGGAGAACAUGCACUUGGUAGCAUCAAAGGAAUAGAGAAUACCAUUCUCACAAUGUUUGACCCAACCAUUAUCUCCAACAAGAAUCUCCAAAGCACUAUCCCUCGUUCCAGUCGGUGCAACUCGACCCUUAGGAAGUUUCAACAAACUGAUGUAAUGGAUAUAGGAUCACAAAAGUUCAUAACAGCAAUUAGAGGCACAAAGCAAUUUUAGUGAGUAAAUUUCACUAGAUUUACUAUGACGUACCCUAUCUGAACACAGUUUAUGACUUUCUGGCUUCCUGAAUUUUUAUUUACAAUAUAAAGGAAUAGUUGAAUAACAUAUCAUAAUUUUUUAAGCUGACAGCAAAAGGUAAAAUUAUAUCAAUGCCAUUCUCAUUUAUUAUGUACUUUGAUAAGUUCAAGAAAUGCAUAUAGAAAAGAAUGUGAUGUGAAUUUAGAAAUGAACAUGAUUUGGAAAAAUGCAUUUAAAUCACUUCAAAGGCAGGCAUCAGCAAGCUCAGCAUAAGCUUUUAUGUAAUACAUGCAAACAGCUUACUUGACGAGCAAGACGAGAAGUAUUAAGUAUCUUGGCAACAGCAGGCCAGAGCUCGCCGCCAAUUGAGUCCCACACUGGAUCCUUGAAGGAUGUCACUGGAAGCACAACAAUAUCCCCCGACCGUUCCCAUCUGAUGGAGACAAAAGAUGUUAACAAGUCAUGGCCAUUAGAUCCACAUAAAGAACCAUAAAUUUUUGAGAGAAUGACCAUAUGUCCCAUCUUAAGUAGACAUACAACUACCGAAGAAGCAAAGUUAUGAGGAACAAACCUAGAUGGUAGCUGCUCUAAAAGCCUAGCUGACAGACCUUUUUGCUCGAUCAAAGAGGCCACAGCUUCAGUCAUUGCUUUAAAGGGAGACUUAGGAGCUCUUUUGACUUCAACAGCUUCAUCCAUCUGUUUAGUGGCACCACAUUCCUUAAGAAAAUGCAAGGCUGUUGCACAGGAGGUUUCAUCGAGCAACACCCCUCCUGUAUAUGGUUUAGACAAAUCAAUAGUAUUCAAACCUUCUGAUUCACCUCCAGAAUGAAGCUGCUUUUCUUGGAAUAUAGCACAAAAUUUUUCAGUCACAGGAAAACAUAUACGUUUUCCAUCCUCCUGCUGAUGAGGCUUCCUUCCAAGAUCUAACCAUCCAAACUUCUUCAAAAUGUCCUUCCCAAACUUUGCAUACUUUUUAUCAAGUUCCACUACCCAGUGUGAAGCAGCCAUCUGAUGCCCAUCAUUUACAGGAUGUUUAGCCUCAGAAUUGAAGUCAGAACUUUCAGUUAAAGUCUGUGUGUUCCCGAGUUCUAAACCUUGGAAGUUAACAUUCUUUUCUCCUGUUACCCCUUCAUAAUGGUGAGUGACAAGCUUUUCUCCCAUCUCAGGAGGUAUGUUACAGUCAUCUAAAGACAUAAGUGGUACAGAGGACAAGUUGAUUUUCACUGGCUCACUGAACUUUGUUCCAAAAGCAUAGCAAGCUGCACCACCACCAAUCAUAAUAAGAUCAUCGUCAACAACGUUGGCUGUAGACCGUACAAAUAAUUCUUUGCACACAUAAUUGAGCUUCACGUGUUUCCAGAUAUGGAGCUGGAGAUCAAGUAAUGACAACUCUUGAUAAUUUUGUCUAACUGGACAACCCCCAAAGAGUCCAAGAUAAUUUUUGUAAAGGAACAUUGUGUGGGAGAACCUAGCAUGUGGACUUCUUGCUGCUAUAUCUUCCUUCUUCCAUAAGCAUGUGUGAACAUCAAAAGUGUAUAAGUCCCCGAGGGCUUUCUCCCCAUUGUACCCUCCAAACAUGUAUAACCGAGAACCAUAUGCCAACAUUGAGUGAGAAUGACGGGCGCAUGGCCCUUCCCCAUUAAUUAAUAAUUCCUUCCACUGCAGGGUAUCAGUGUCGAGCACAUGCAAAGAUGAAAAAAUUGUAUCAUUGUUAAGUCCGCCAAAUACAUAUAUCUUUGAGCCUAUAACAGCUGCAGCAUGUCGAUGCCUGUAUAGAAUACAUAUAAAAACACAUAUGGAUAAAAAAUUAAGAACAAAUUGGUAUAGAUCAUAAUGUGGACAAAAAAUUAAAUAUCAAUAAUGAGAUAUGAAAAUUGAUGAAGUAGAAGGAGGAUGUACUAAUCAGCUUCCAAGUACCAAGAUUGAUAAUUAUCUCUAUAAUAAUGUAUGUAGCAUGCACUAUUAUGCCAAAACAACAAGCAUCAAACAGAGGUAGGAGCAUAAAUGCGAUGAAGAAAUCACCUGGGCUGAAAGACACUGCCAGAACAUUCUAAUAAAGUCCAUUUACUCUUAGCCAUAUUGAAAACCCACACAUCACUCAGUAUGUUCAAAGGAUCAGCCCUGCCUCCGAUAAUAAACAUGUGGUCUCCAAUCAAAGAAGAUGUGUGACCCAAGCGUGGAGAUGGACUGCCCUCAGUGUGAAUAGCUUUUAUCGUUCCUUGUAAUGGAUCAAGCAGAAAAAGAUCAUUUCUACGUGCAUGUCUUCCCAUACCCCCAAAACCACCAAAUACAAGAAUCUGAGAGUCAUUGAUCGAGUUUCCCAGGAUGCAAGCAGAAUGACCCCAAAGGAAUAGCUUCUCCACAGGUUCACCAGCAAUCACUAUCCGGCUAACUGAUAGACCGCAACUAGGAACUCCUGGUGGCCCUGUCAAUGAUUCAAAGACUCAAACUCACUGUCACAUUAAAAGGAAAUGUCUCCUGCAAUCAAAUAUAUGUUAGUAUGUAAUAGCACUGCUCAAUGAAUGUACACACGACUCUUAUGGUUCUUGCAAGUUGCAUCUUUGCAUUCUCUUAUACACUCUUUAAGGGUUCUGUUAGUUUAUUAACCUGCGAACUCAAGCUCAAUACAAAAAGAGAAAUACAAGAAUUAAAACACAGAUGGCACAAAGUUAACUCCGGUUAGCAGGCCAGUAGCUUCAAUUUCACACUCUUGCAAGAAUUUUAGGAAGAAACACGCUCAACAUGGGUUAAUGUUUUAAAACAUUUGUUCUUUUGACAAGUUAACCAAAACUCUAGCACAGUCUCCAUGGUUCGUCAUUUCUAUAUCUUAACACUACCCUCAUGUAACACGCAUUCCAUCAAAAAGUCACAUAAAUAAGAACACACUACCAUGAGUGUCUUAGCAAAUUGCAAUUGCAGUGCUGUGAUAUGAAAUAGAAUAGUGAGCACUUCAGUUACUGCUGAGCUUUCAAAAUUCAAAAGUGACGAAGCAGAAGCACGGCAGUUACAAACAAACAAGUCCUGAAUUAAUUAAUCAAAUAUUACCAUCAACAUUCUUCGUUAGAUCCCCGCAAUUCUGGUGUUCGUCCUUGCUAGAAACAGACGAACCCACCAUAAAAUUAAAAGCCUGCAAAAACCCGUCAAUCCUCCUGCUAUUAGCUUCCAAUUUCUGAUUAGCAAUCCCAACAAGAAACCUCACAUAAUCUUGGGACACUAAAACGUUGCCACUCUCUCCUAAGGGAACCUCAAGCCUCAAGGAACACCGUAUCCCAACAAUAACGCGCUUCUUGACACUCGUGACCCCGCUCUCCCUCAACCCAGAAGACACCGCGAUAGAAACCAAAGCCUCAGCCGACUCAACGUCCCGGCACUCCACCGCCACAAUCAACGGCUCGAAGCGGAAAACGAGCUGGUCCCGAGUGGGGGAGGACGGAGUUGUGUGGGUGGGGAAGAAGAGUAGGGAGAGGACGGAGUCCACGUCAGCCGGGUCGUGGGUGAUGAAAAGCCACGUGCCGCCUUUGGGUUUAUUGACGGGGUGGGAGAAAAUGGAGAUACGGCCGGAGCAUGAGCUGGUGGUGUAGUAGUUUGGGUGGCUGUUGAUCGCGUUCAGGAGAGGGAUUAUGGGCGUGUCUAACGUGCCUUUCGGCGAUUUGUCUGUCGCGGACGAACUCAGUGACGCUAGCGUUGCUGCUUUUCGUUGCUCGAACGACAUAUUUUCCUUCUUUCCUGUCUGUGGAGACCGAAUCGCCGAGCGGGCAAAACCCUCGUUAACUCUCACUCUCACUCUCACUCUCCCUCUCCCUCUCCCUCUCCCUCUCCCGGGCGGUACUUGCUGACUGGCGAAUUGAGAGGGGUAAUUUAGACAUUUCGUGUAGCCAUGUUAGGACCCUUGCUUUAUUAAAUUAUAUUGAACAAGGUCACGGCCUAUUCAUUUUCGGCACAUGGGUCCAUAACAAAAACAUAGCCUCCUCUCACUCACCCUCAACUAACCCACAUCGAUCGACGGUCAUUUACUUCCGCGGCCUGAAUAACAGCCCGGGGCGAAGUCAGUCACAUUUUCUAAGCUUUUUUUUUUUAAAUUAAAAAAAAAAUCUUAAACUAAAGUCGUUAAAUCAAAUCAUAACAUUAAAUUAACAAUUUUUUUAUUUCAGAAAUAUCUUGUAAAUUAAGUUCAAUUAAUAAAAUAAAUUAUCAACUUUAAAGUUGUGAUUAUAAUGUCCUGUAGGCACAAUACUUCAUAGUCCAAUCCAUUAGAUGUUUCUAGUUUAUUAAUAUUCAGUCUGUAAAGUACCGUACCCUUAAGUGAACAUAACGGACUCAAACUUUAAAGAAUUAUCUUGUGAUUAUAAAUUUACUUGAGAAAGGAAAAAAAAAUUAAAAAAGGAUGGAGUAGAGAAGAAGUUGAGAAAAAUGAUAGUAUGUGGCAAUUUUGUAAAAUAUAGUGGUGAUAGUUAGCUUCAUAAAUACUAUACUGUAAUUUUGUGGUCAACGUUACUAUUAUGGUAAAAAGAAAUCAAAAUUUUUUGACAAGACUAUCAGAAUGAUCUACUAAUACAAACCUUUACAUAACUAAUUAAUUAAUUAAUUACACUAACUUCUGCAAAUUUAGCAGGGGACAAAAAAAAAAAAAUGAAGAAGAAAGAAACUCUGCAAAGCUGGUGACUGCACCUCCACUUGGAUGUAUCGAGUUAUCUUUCGCCUGAUGAUCAUGAUAUCGUUGAUGGUGAUGAGUUGUAUUUUGAAGUCCAAUACUAAUGAUAUUAAUCACUUUCACCAGCAUUUAAAAAAUAAAUAAAAGAUCACUUUCACCAUAUAAUAAAUAUAUUCAUACUCUUAGUUUAUAUGAUUAAAUGAUUGAAAACUCCAUUUUAACUAACAAUUGCCUAUUUAAUCUAUAAUAAAUAAUUUAAAUUUGUAGUUAGCAUAUAUCAAUUUACCAAUGAUAUUAAUCCAUCUUUUUGGAUUAGAGUUUUUGAAUUAAGGUAACUAAGGGAUAAGUUAAAAAAGUAAGAAAAAUAUGCAUUAUGGCGUACUACAAAAUAAAAUAAAUUUUUUGACACUCCUAAAAAAUCUCUCUUAAAACUCCUUUUUAAUUACAACUACUUAAAUAACGUUAUACAAAUUAAUUCAUUUAUUGUUCCGAAUGGUGAUUCAUUUUAAUACUUAAAUAAAUUAUUCUUUAAACAAAUUUUUUAUACCCACAUAUUUUAUAAUUUAUAUUUAUGUUUUCAAUUUUAAUUGAAUUUUUUAAAGAAAAAUUUAGAGUUAUGAGAUAGAAAUAUUAUAAAAAGAAAAAAUUUAAAAUAAAUUUAAUAUUUUAGGAUUUGUAUAUAAUUUAACAUGAAGUAUUUUUUUUUAGUAAAAUUCUAUAGAAAGAUGGUUAAUUUUAAUAAAUAUGAAUUUAUAUCCCAUUUAUAUUUUAUCAAAAGAUAUUUUAGAAAAUAAAUUCAAAAGAGCGUGAUCGUUGUCGUUGUCUAUUCGAAGGGGCUUUUCGUAUGGCCCACUGAACGAAGUGUCCGUUCAAACCUCUUGGAUCCAAACCCAGACAACCCUAAACCCGUUGAAGUUGAUUGGGUCUUGGCGUGGGGCGUCUCACGCUAACAUGAAGGUGGAUUUCGAAGGGCAAGGAGUUUAGUUAGUUUCUGGCAACAGUUUGUGCGAAAAUUGAAACCAGUUUCCUGUCUUCCCCCCAUAAUCAGUUAAGCCGCUACUCUUUUUCUCUCUUCUCGUUGCAAGAAAGAGGCUUCGAAGGUAGCCUGUUUCAGUCUCUCCGUUUCUUUGUUCAGUUAAAUUUCUGAUUUUUAUUUCUCUCUUCGCUCCUAACUAUUACUUUAGUGUUCUUUUGCACGAGAGCCACUAGGGUUUAUUGCUCUGUGCAAUUGUGAUUUUUGUAUAUUCAGGCCUGUUUAUUCCACUUUCCCAUUAUUAGAAACUUAUACUGAACCAGGUUUGCUCUCUUUUGCUUCUUCAUUGCAGAGACUGUUUCAUUUAUGAAUUGGGUUUUGAGCAUUCUAUGUUUUCAGCCUUUUGUAAUUGUUUGUACAAAAGUAACAGUCCUUUAAGCCGAGCCUUUCACGUGGGUAAGCAAUUUGCUAACCCGAGUACCGAAGAUAUUGUUUUCAGAGCAAUUUGUGUAAAUUUAAGGCAAAGGAAAUGGAAAAUUUUGGAGCAAAUGGCUCCAAGUCUCACAAAUUCAUUGGUAAAUCGUGUUGUUUCCGAGUUCCGAAAGUCACCCAAGUUAGCUUUGGAAUUUUACACUUGGGUUGGAGAGAACAACCGCUUUUCACACUCAUUAGAAUCUUCUUGUGCUAUAGUUCAUUUGUUAGUCAAUUGGAGGAGAUUCGAUGAUGCAUUGUUGUUAAUGGGGAAUUUAAUGAGUGCAAAUAGUGUGUCCCCAUUGGAAUUUCUGGAAGGUUUGCUUGAUAGUUAUGAAAUAUGCAAGGCUACUCCGGCCGUGUUCGAUGCCUUGGUUAGGGCUUGUACUCAAAUUGGAGCCACUGAAGGUGCUUAUGAUGUGAUUCAAAAGUUGAAAGUGAAGGGGCAUUCAGUUUCGAUUCAUGCUUGGAAUAAUUUUUUGAGUCAUCUUGUGAAGUUAAAUGAGAUUGGUAGGUUCUGGAAACUGUAUAAGGAAAUGGUGUCUUGUGGAUAUGUUGAGAAUGUCAAUACUUUUAACUUAGUUAUUUAUGCACUUUGUAAAGAAUGUAAACUAGAAGAAGCAUUAUCAUUGUAUUAUAGGAUGUUGAAGAGUGGCAUCUGGCCAAAUGUUGUUUGUUUCAAUAUGAUAAUUAAUGAGGCUUGCCAGGUUGGUGACCUGGAAUUUGCCUUGAAGCUUUUUCGGAAGAUGGGAGUAAUGUCAGGAGAUAGUGUUUUGCCCAAUUCAGUGACACACAAUUGUAUCAUUAAUGGCUUUUGCAAAUUAGGAAGAGUAGAAUUUGCUGAAGAAAUCCGUUAUGCCAUGAUUAAGGCUGGAAUUGACUGUAAUGUAAGGACCUAUGCAACUUUGAUAGACGGGUAUGCAAGAGGAGGGAGCUCAGAGGAGGCACUGAGGUUGUGUGAUGAAAUGGUGAAGAGGGGCUUGAUGCCUAAUACUGUGGUUUACAAUUCAACCAUUCAUUGGCUUUUUGCAGAAGGAGAUGUGGAGGGAGCUUUGUUUGUAUUAUCUGACAUGAUUGAUAAGCAUAUAUGCCCUGAUCAAUUCACUUACUCUAUUCUCACAAAGGGGCUUUGUAGAAAUGGAUGUGUGAAGCAAGCUUUCAAAUUACAUAACCAAGUUCUAGAGGAACACAUGGUAGGAGAUGCGUAUUCAUACAAUAUCCUUAUCAAUUAUCUCUGCAAAAGUAAUAAUUUAGCAGCAGCAAAGCAGCUAUUAAGCAGUAUGAUUGUUCGUGGCUUGAUUCCUGACAUUAUUACUUAUGGUACUUUGAUUGAUGGGUACUGUAAGGGAGGCAAUAUAGAAGGUGCAGUUCAGGUUUAUGAAAAUAUGAAAAAGGUGGAGAAAAAACCCAACUUGGUAAUAUACAAUUCCAUUAUAAAUGGCUUAUGCAAGGAUGCAUCUCUAGAUGCUGCAAAAUCUUUGUUAGAAGCGUCGCAGCGGAUAGGUUUACUUGAUGCCAUAACCUAUAACACCUUGAUAAAUGGAUAUUUCAUCAAUGGGAAGAUCGCCGAGGCAUUUGCUAUGUUUUCUGAAAUGAGAAAUGUGGGGAUUGCAGUUAACAAAGUUGGCUACAAUAUAUUGAUAAACUUUUUAUGUAAAUUUGGGUGUUAUCAACAAGCAAGAGAGCUUAUGAAGGUGAUGAUUCUGCAUGGCAUUAUUCCGGAUUAUGUAACAUACACUACUCUUGUUACCAGGUUUAGUAAGAAUUGCAGUCCAGAGGAAGUGAUUGAAUUGCACGACGACAUGGUGCUCAGUGGAGUAAGUCCUGAUAAUCAAACAUACAAUGCCAUAAUUAGCCCUCUUCUUGGAGAAAAAAGUGCUGAGGAUCAAGUUUAACUGGAUUUGCUUUUCAAAUGUUUUGCGAUUUAUCUAAUUCGUGGGAAAGGAAAAAAUUAAUAUUGCCAUUUAUUUUGUUUUCAAUUGCAUUUAAUUAAAUGAAUAGAGAUCUUUAAACUCAGAUUUUUAUAUUGCUCAUCUCUCUUUUUUAAAAAAAAAAAAAAAAAACCCUUUUCCCCUCUUUUUUCUGUGCCUGAGAGUAUAACUUUAUGACUGCAUGGUUGCUGCGCCCAUAUGAUCCAUACAUAGUUCUUAAUUUUGGAGUGGACAGAUAUCCUGCAAGGUGCUCCUGUCUGUUUACUAAUGUUGGAAUUGACAAUCCCACGAAUAAUUGUGUCGGUGUCAAAUUCACCCUCAUUUUUCUUCAUUUUGCAACUUGUUUUUCAUUUUCCAUUAAGGGAAGGAUUGAUAUAGCAACCAUUGCCAUUUGCAAUGAGAAAAACAGAAAAUAUAUCAAAUGGCAGAAUUUUUUCUCAAAGCGGCUGGGGGGGGGUGAUCAGGUAAUUAGAUAUUUCAGAUGGGCCCCACAAUGAAAUAUUGAUUAAAAAAUAAAAAUAAAAAUGAAUUGAAUCAAAUUCAUGUCCCAUGCAAUCUCCAACGGUCAAAAUCCUUAUCUAAAAACCUGAUCCACUUCCUCCAUCUCCCUCCACUCGUUCCCUCUCAUUUCCUCCAAGCCAGAAGAAGCAUACAUGAAAAAAAGAUAAGACUUCAUGAAACAAACACCUAAAACAAACCAAGCCCACAAAGCAGACUCUCUCUUUCCCUUCUCUUUGAGUGCUUAGACUCUCACCUUGAGCUCCAACAAUCCGUUAUCAGUUAUCACCAUGUCUUGCUCAAACCUACCUGUGUGUCGUGACACUUCUUCGCUCUCUUUUGGCUCAUUUCUCAACCCAUUUAGGCCUCCUCACAAUGCAACCCCCAACAACCCUUCUAGAUCUUCAUCAGUUACUCCAAUUCAUUGUGGUCUCCGCGAGCUCAGAGAACGUAUUGAUUCUGUAAAGAACACACAGAAGAUCACCGAGGCCAUGAAGCUUGUGGCCGCUGCUAAAGUCAGAAGAGCUCAGGAAGCUGUUGUCAAUGGCAGGCCUUUCUCUGAAACUCUUGUUGAGGUUCUUUACAACAUCAAUGAGCAGCUUCAAAAUGAAGACAUAGAUGUUCCUUUGAUCAAAGUUAGACCUGUCAAGAAAGUUGCUUUGGUUGUUGUCACUGGUGAUCGUGGUCUUUGUGGUGGUUUCAACAACAAUAUUAUUAAGAAAGCUGAAGCGAGAAUUGCAGAAUUGAAGACUCUUGGACUUGAUUACACUAUUAUUAGUGUUGGUAAGAAGGGUAAUGCAUAUUUCCUUCGUAGGCCUUAUAUUCCUGUUGAUAGAUUUCUUGAGGGAGGUUCAUUACCUACUGCUAAAGAAGCUCAGACUAUAGCAGAUGAUGUGUUUUCACUCUUUGUUAGUGAAGAAGUUGACAAGGUGGAGCUUUUAUACACAAAGUUUGUGUCUUUGGUUAAGUCUGAUCCUGUGAUUCACACUUUGCUUCCACUAUCACCGAGGGGAGAGAUUUGUGAUGUGAAUGGUGUUUGCGUUGAUGCUGCUGAGGAUGAGUUCUUUAGAUUGACAACUAAGGAAGGAAAGUUAACUGUUGAGAGAGAUGUUGUGAGAACUGAGACUGCUUCUUUCUCACCCAUUUUGCAAUUUGAGCAGGACCCAGUUCAGAUUCUUGAUGCUCUUUUGCCCCUCUAUCUAAACAGCCAGAUCUUGAGGGCUUUGCAGGAAUCCUUAGCCAGCGAGCUUGCUUCAAGAAUGAGUGCCAUGAGCAAUGCAACUGAUAAUGCAAUGGAGUUGAAGAAGAACUUGUCUAUCGUCUACAACAGGCAGCGCCAGGCCAAAAUUACUGGAGAGAUUUUGGAGAUUGUUGCUGGUGCCGAUGCUUUAGUGUAAAGAAUUAUGCGGGGCUUCUCACAUCUUACUCAAUUGUCCAUCUUUGUAGGCAAUUUUACGACUGUUUCCCUUAUUGAUUCAAAUAUGCUUGGUUUACCAGGAGUUUAUUCAGAAUUUACACUUUUUCACUGUAAUUCUCAGCUAAUAAACUUUGUCCACAAAUGAGAAACUGGCACUAUAUCUUGCAACAGAAGAGCUUUCUACUUAUAUUUGUAUGUUCUACAUGUUUUCACCCCGGCUAGUUCACUUGUAAACUACUUGUAUAAUUUGGAUGGAUAUGUAAUUCUAGGCUCCCUUGGUCAGCUCUUGGAUUUUGUCAUUGUUACCGUAAGUAAAUCACAGGUAAUUCUUGUUUAUAUUACAUUUGAUUCACUCUAAAAGAUUCUAGUCUGAAAUUGUUCUUGCCAUAUAUAUAUGGGGUGUGUUUACCAAUUGAAUCUGAACAAUGUUAUUAGCAGGAAAUGUCUUCUGCUUCGUUCAAACUUAGACCCAUUUGAAUCAUAGAGAAGGUUGAAACAAAUCGAAGUUCAUUGAUUACUCGAGUAGAUUAUGCCUAGUGUUACGCAUUAUGAGAGUUGUCCGCAACCCUAAUUGGUUAGCAGUAAGUCUGCAAGCGUGAUACGGCUUGCAUAUCCAUAUGAUACCUAAAAGAAAUUGAGAAUGUCGAUGGUAUUGACGUAUGUGAGUAUAUCAAAUUUAGAAUUCUAAACAUGAAGUCAUUUAUGCAAAAUUAAUUUAUUCUUUCUGGUUACAGAAUCAAAUAACACUUGGUGUCGUUCAGAAGGAUCCUAAUCCUUCACGUUAAUGAAGAUGUGCAAACCAAGUCAUCGUUUUCGCAAAAUCAAAAUGAAACGCAAACGAUGCAAUUGCAUGCGCAUGCUUAACAUGUAACACAAACCAGAAAAUUCACAGGAAAAAGGGAGAUAUAAUAGCAAAUUAGCAAAUUGAAAUAAAUAAAUAAAAAAGCUUCAGUAGAAGGAUGGCAAUCAUCUGAUUCUGACCACACACAAGGGUCAAGUUCGAUGAGAGAAAACACAGGCGUAAUAGCCACGAAUUUCUUAGUUAGUGAACAUUGAUGACUUUUGUUGAUUCUCAGACCAAAAAGCGUGGGAUAUUUGGAUCGGCACAAUAUUAUACCUUUGUCUCUUUGUCUCCGCAAGCCGAAGAAUUAUGUGGCCAUACGAACAAGUCAUUGUCGCCCGACUUUGCAGUGAUCUUGUUGUUUCUAAGUCGAUGCAUGCAAGUGCCCCUGGUUUCAAUUACCUAUAUAAACCUCUUCUUCCUCUUUGUUACCACCUGCUUCGUACCACUAGAUUAAUUUUAUUGUGAGUGUAUAUGAGAAAUAGAAAUAUUGUGACUUGUUUUUGUGUAAAAAAGUGGGGUGGCAGUUGCUGAAUAGACAAGGUUUGUCUCAAGUUAAUUUCUAAUAAGGUAAACGCCCCCACAUUUGGCUAAUGCGAAGUUGUUUAUGGGUUUUAUUAAUGCAAUUAAUCGUGUUUAUUAAUGGGUUAUUAUCAAACUUAUUCCUAUUCUUUUUAAGGCAGCAAAUUAGUCCAUAAGUUACCACUUGUCUCAAGUUAGUCUCCGCCGUCCAAGUCUUUUACCUAAAUUUAACGUUAUAUAGUUAGGGUUAGUUUGUUAAUGUUAUUAUAUUAUAACUCUUAAAAUAAUUGUUUGUUAACUGUGCUGCAAAAAUAAUCAAAUGUGACGAGAAUUGGUUAAAAGUUUAAUAAUUUUUUUUAAAAGUGCCAUUAAUUUUGAAAAUAGUCUCAUGUGUUUAGUAAGCCUCACUUUUAAAAUACUCUAAGAACGCAAAUGACUUAAAUCUAUAAAAUUUAUUUACAUGUGCAUUUAUAGAUAUGUGUCUAUGAAAUAAUUUGUUAUUUCAGUAGUAGUAGUAAUAAUAAUAAUAAUAAUUGAGAAGGAGAAAGCAAAAAAGAGAAAUAUUAUUAUUAUUAUUAUUAUUAUUAUUAGUAGUAGAGAGAGAAUGCAUGUUUUAUUCUUGAUAAAUGUCAUAUUUACCACUACAUCCUUGUUAAAUUUUUAAUUUUUCAUUUCAUCUAUUAUGUUAAGAGAUAAUAGAAUUUAUCAUGAAAAUAAGGAUAAAACAAUAAUUGAAAGUGUCAUGUUUUAAAAUUUAAAAUAAAACACGACACUUCUUGGGAUCAAGAAAGAAUGAAAAAAUAAAUACUCUUGUUGUAAUUACAUAAGACUAAUUCUUUUCAUUUUUUUUCUUUUAAUUUCGACUCCCAACUUCUUAGAAAUAUCAUGAAAUCUUUAAGGAGGGGUAGAAUAAUAAAUAAAUAAAUAACAAUUAAUUUUAUAUGCUAUCUCGUAACGAGAAGGAUGAAAUAAAAAAAAAAAAACUAAAAAUGAUUAAGAAAUAAAUAAGGAGUAAGGGCAUGUCGAGUAAAUGGAAUUGGAUAUUAGUGACUAAUUCGAGGCAAGUAGAUUAAUGAUUUAACGUGUUAAGUUCGAAAACUAUAGGGAUGGAUUUGAUAAUAACCAGCUAAUUAUUGUGAAGUUGAUUGAAAAAGAAACUUUUUAUUUUUUUAUUUUUUUAGCUCGGAUUGAAAAAGAAACUUAACGGUAAAUAUAGCGUACGUAGCUCAAUCUUAAAAGAUUUUGAAGAAUACGAGGAACUCAGAAA